This 56642-nucleotide long non-coding RNA is filed under the name Solanum tuberosum (potato). RNAcentral describes it as "long non-coding RNA (STUB_LNC011940)". The record is from RNAcentral. Lineage: Eukaryota; Viridiplantae; Streptophyta; Magnoliopsida; Solanales; Solanaceae.
UUUUCUUUCGUAGUUUUGUGUUUUUGCUGCAAUUUUAGUUUCUUUUGUUUGCAUUUUUACUGCACUAUGCUUGAGAAAUUAUUAUAUGGAGAUGCGGAAUUAUAUCUAUACAUGCUUGUUUGUUUUAUUACUGUAUUCAAAGUCAAAACUUUACUGUACCUCUUUGUAACUACGUCAUUUGUCCGUAUAUGUUUUGGCCUUUUCUUGUUGUUGCUUCUGCUUGUUAUUGUUGCAUCCUUUUCGUUUUUCGUUCAGAGGGCCUAUCGAAAACAAUCACUCUACCUUCUCAAAGGUAAGUACUACUCUACCCUCCCUAGACACUAAAUUUAUUGUUGUUGUUACAGCAAAAGAACAUAUAAUAUAGCAUAACAUAAAAAACGGUUCAUUAAAAAACUUGACCAUUAUACGAAAAUGUAGUUAGAUAUGGAAGAUUGUUAUAGAGAAAUCUGAUUGUAUUACUCUUUUACUUGAACAUACAUAUAUGGUUUUGAGUAUUAAGAAUAAAGAAACCAAUCAAUGUCAAACUGAAUUUCUUUGCUUCAUCUCAACUUCUUCACAUCUCAGAGAAAAGACGAUUGUUUUUCUAUACAAUAACACUAAGAAAAUAACAUCUGGUAAAUCAUGUUUACACAUUGGACAAUCUUUAUAAUCGAUGUCACAAUAGCAAAAGGAUAAAUAUACUACAUUUUUUCUGCAUAAGUUGGCUGAAAGCGAAGUAAAUUGCCCCUGUCGAACUCCAUAACUACUGCUGGCAGAUUUAUGAUUCAUCCAUAAAGACAGCGCCGUGUCCAUUAGCUUUCAUGAAUUUCUUAAUCAGAAGUGCAAGUAUAGCAAUUGUAAGUCCAACUGCUGCCCAUGUGAAGAAACGGUCAUCAGCCUGCCUCGGAAUGCUCUGUUGAGGUGUAUGCAAUAUUCGAUGCUCAUUAGGCCGUACAGCAGGGGGCUCUAUAGGUGCAUGUACAGGAUCAGCAUCUAAAGCCAAUUCACGUCUUUCUUCAGUAGUUGUGUCAGCAACAGAUGGAUUAGGACGUCUUUCUUCAGUAGCCUCAUUGCUGGGGUUCUCAGGACUCUCUUGAACCCCGUCCUCUCUAUUACUGUUCUGUUCUUCAGGAGCUGGUGAGGUAGUAGCUUGAGGAACUGGUGGUGCUUUGCUUAGCAUGUAAUCAUGUAUCUAUAAAAUAAACCAACUAUUAAUUCUCAUGCCCACAGAUAACAACAUAUUGGCUGUCAAAAUGAUAUUCAGAUAAUGCUAUACCUCGUCAAUCAGCUUCUGGCGCUCAGGAAUCCCAUAUCUUGGAGCCACAUCACGAGAUUUAAUAGCUAAAACACGCCUUUCUUCCUUUGUGUAUUCUAGUGAUCCAAGGGCACCAUUUGGGCUGGUAGGCAUAAAUGCGAUCAGAGCUACCAGCGCAGUGCGAACUGCAAAUCAAAAGUAAAACAAUUAAAUACAGGUUAGCUUCAGAAGCUGUGCACCUGCCAAAACAUGGGAAACAGCAUCCAUUAAUUCAGAAAACUAUACCACACAGUAGCUUGAUCCACCGAAAAAUGCUCCUCUCUAGUCAAUACAACUAAGGAAUAAUAAUUGCAAAAAAAGGUUGCUCACACUUCACUUUUUUAUUUGAAAUUUUUGCCUACUACAGUGUCUGCAUUUUUGUUUUGCUCAAGUACAGUACACCAGCAGCCAUUAUAAAAAAGUUUAGCGCACGUAUUCAAUCAUAUCUUCUAUCUUUUACAUCCAUCAACACAACCUCAUGCUAUAUUUCAAUAACAUAGACUCAGCUAAAUACAGCCACAAGUUAAAAGCAAUGGAGCAUAUAAUUUUCGAGGGAAAUUUCCAACUCAUGCAGAUGAAGAUAUCUUUUGAUGUCCUAAUAUGUCAUUGCCUAAAAUUUGCAACAAGAGGAACUGUUCUAUUGCUUUCAUGUAAACAGGGUAUCUGUCAAUAUAUCCCAAGAAAAGAACACUAAGACAACAAUAUGAAAGUGAAAUUCAUCAAAAUAUAACACAUAGGGAAAAAUGGUAAGAGAGAAUGAUGAAGUUACCACUCCAUGACGGUUGCCAGUGCUCAGGAUGAUGAUUAGAAAUACUCAAACAAAUCUUGGUUUGCGUUUCAAAACGUCCAUUUGGCUGAAAAGAGCAAAACCAUGAGUUAGCAGAUUAUUAAUAUUAAACAUGAAAUGAAUCAACUCUAAACCUAGAUGGUAAUGGAAUUUGGCUUCUCCUGUUUGUAGCCUGACCCAUCCACAAAACAGACUCCCUUUUGCACCACCACCCCCAUUAAUCCCAUCUAUUCUCUUUCAGUUUGUUAAUCCGCGUACCUUUUGUUUUCCUUUUCCAAACUUUUUCGCUACCCUCCUGAACGAAUUUGUGUAGCGGGGGAGGGGGGGCUUGGGUCACACCUCAAAACUUAUUCAAGAUUUGCACAUGGGGCAAAGCAACGACUUCCUUCAGACUCUUGAGUCAGAUCUUAUCGUAUGGUAAAAAAUUUCCUAAGAUUUGCCGACUUUCCACUUGAAUUAGGAAUCUCUUAGCCUCUUUUUUCCCAUGAUACCUUUUUUUAUCCCUUUUUUUCACAUCAAAACUUAUUAGCACCCUGCCCGGCCCAAUCUGUAAAGUCUGCUUGUGGCAGGAUGGGGUUUGACCAACAACGCUCGCCCUAUUUUAAUUAAUAAACCUUGUUCCAUAAAAUGACUCAAGGAGUAAUACAAGCUUUUAAAAUAGAAAGUAACUCACUGUCAAAAGCAUGAAAGAAGGAGGCUUGAAAGGAUAUUCGGCAGGUAACUGGAUUCGCCCAUGAUAAAUCCCCCCUUCAAACUCAGAAUCUCGUGGACCCCUGAUUGCAAAUUGCCAUUCAAAUAUGUUCUCCUGAAAAAGUAAUAUAAAGUUCAGUUUCAAAUUGCUGUGUCGUUGUGCAACUUCUAGAAUUAAAAAUAACUUGUAAAUGGAAGACAACCAGUCAUUUAUCAACAGAAUUUCAUGCAAGACGCAACCUUUUGAAAGUUAUAUCGACAGAAUCAAUUAUGAUGAAAUUCAUUUACCAGUGAUGGAUUCAAGAUCAUAUAUACACAUGUUACCUCAUAGGAAUAGAAGGAAAAUGCCCAAAAAUCAAAUCUUGACCAUGUAUAUCAUAACACCACAUAGACAUCACACAGAGAGCUAGAAGAGCACAUAGAUCAUUCAUUGUUAGUGAGGUUUAUUCUUCAGCAGGAUCAACUAAUAUCCUUGACAUAUGAACUUAGAUCAUAAAACUUUAUCGAAGCUUAAGAGUUUUAUAUCAUGAGCAUUCUUAUAUAGAACCACUAUCAUAUUAAAUACUAGAAAUCAAUGGUUGCUGCCUUGUCCAAUUUUCAAUUUAUUUUAUUUUGUCAGCAGUAAAUACAGCAAACAAGUUUUUGCCAAACAAUUUCAAAUUAUAAAACUUGUACAUCCAUGCAGGAAAAAUUGCAUCAAGGAAACAGCUGCCCUACCAAUGCAGUAAACCAUCACUUCCAUAGCAAACAAAUACACACACGCCUCCCCACCCCUCGCGACAAAGCAAAUUAGCUAUAUCCUCUUACCUUGAAUACCAACUAACCACACACCCUAUUUAUAUCUACACUCAUACAAGCAGACAAAUUCUCCAAUGUAUUGGACACUUCUUGCUUAUCCCAGUAUAUUUGACUAACUUUCAAAUGGAUCCAGUAAAUUUACUUACAUCCACUUGUUUCACAAUUUUAGCUCAUGUCAAGUGAAUUAGACUAAUUUUCAUAGCCAAAUCAAACUACAUUAAUCCUCAAUUCUGAAAAUUAACACAUAUAAUUUGCAAUUCACCUAAAAAGUUAAUCUUUUUAAUAAAUUUGAAUCUCACAAAGCAAAAAAUGCACCACAUUAAAAUUCUAGAUCCAAACAGAUAAAACAUGAAAGGAUAAGAUCGAUUUCAUAAGAAAAAAAAGGAAAAUUAAGCAAUUAAAUUGAAACCUCAAGAGGAAGGCUCAUGAAAUCAUCGGAAGGGUUUGAUUGCAUCUCUUUAACCUCCUGUAAGAUUCUCUUCACCGCUGGAUUUUUCAGAUUAUACUUGUCUUCCGCCAUAUCUGUUACUCAGAGCCGCUGCCGCUGCCGUCGCCGCCGUCUCUGGUCACCGUAAACCCACAGCCGGUCAAAAAGUAGCACCGAUAAUGAUGAAUAUGAAGAAAAAAAUUGGUGGGUGAGAAUAUAAUAAAUAUAAAGAAAGUGAAGAUGGCGGGUGACGCGUCAUCACUAUGACGUGGCGACUAAUUAUUGGAUAAAAUGACAAAAUCUUAAUGAAUUGUUUUAGUAUAAUAAUAAUUCAUGAUUAUGAAAAGAUUAAUAUAUUGACUAGAAGGGAUGGAUUUAUAGCUUACCGCUCACGCUUAUCGAAGUUAUGCUCGAAAACUUCGUCUAAGGAAUAUUAUAGAGAGAAUUUUAUUUAUAGCUUACCCCUCACGCUUAUCGAAGUUAUGCUCAAAAACUUCGUCUAAGGAAUAUUAUAGAGAGAAUUUUUUGUGUUACGAUAAAUUAUUUUAUACCAAUUGAGUUGUUAGAGGCUUCUUCAACGUGACAGUUAAGUACUAUAUUGUAGAUUACCCUAACUUACUUUUCCCUUACUAGGAUUGACUCUUUAUAAUUCUCAAUUUAGUAUUUAUGAUAGAAGAAAAUUGAACAAAUUUCAUGACAUUUACGAUUGAAAAUUUUGAAACAUUACUUGAAAAGCAUAGUCGCAAACUAUCGAAUAUCAAUCAUUAUUCCUUAAAAGGCGUGUAAACUUGAUUAAAAGAUUCAAGAUCCCAUUAGUUGAAAUGCAAAGUAUGAAACACAUGAUGUUGAAUUCUCAAAUUGGGGACUUGUAAUCUUGUUUCCUAUGGGUAAGCCUCGAAAAGAGGAAUGGGACACAAAAAGACAAACUUGUGGAGAACUUCACCAUCUAGAAAAAGUAGUCUUCUAAAACUCCAAAAAAUAAUUUAAAAAGAUGUAGCUAUCCAAAAACAUUAAUAUUGACCCUUUUAGUGUGAGACUAAAAAAACACCAAUGACCAAAAUCAACCAACACAUCUCCAUCAUGUUUUACUACACAAGAAAGAAAGAAAUUAAGCAACCAAGAGAGAGGCAUGGAAAAAAGGGCAAAACCUUAAACAACAUUGCAUAGUCAUACAAGUUAAGUCUGAAAAGAAUGAGAUGUAUGCAAAUCUUAUUUUUAUCUUUACGGGCUAAAAAAGUUUCAAAAAAGGCAAAAACUUUACCUACACAUAGUGAAGUUCUAGUUCUCUGUCCUAAUUCAUUCUUUCAAAUAAGUAACUAAAAACCUUGAAGUUGUUGAGGUACAACGUCGUUCCAGUAUGAUCCCACAAGUGAGAUCUACUAGAUACACAAAUCUUAUUUCUACCUUGUGUGAGGCAAAAGAUGUUUCCGAUAAACCCUAGGUACAAGAGAAGUGUUUUCAAAAACAGGUUUGACAAAUACAAAAUAAAGUCAUGGUGAAAAUACUAUAGAAAGUUGUUGAGAUACAAAAGAGAGAAAACCCACUGGACUUGAUAUGUAGAGUAGCAAAGAGAUUGGGGGGGGGAGGAAGCCAAGUGAGCUACCACUGUAAAUCUAAUGUACAUAUAUGCAGUAAAUGUUAAUUGUCCCACUCAAAUUUUAAUAUACAAUUAAGCAACAUUGAAACAGAAAAUUUGGCCUCAAGCAACACUGACCUCUCUAAAUUGAAGAAUAAACUUUUCAAGGGCAAAAGUUGGUGCCCAUACAUUGCAUACAAGUGCACAUAACUAAGGAAAGUGAAGAUGGAGUUGGGGGUAGAGAUGAAACCAAAGAAUAGGAGUAACCAAAAUUCUAUAGCUAUGUAAUGUUUUACAGGAGCAAUUGGAAAUGCUAAACGAAAGAGAAAACUCAAGACGGUGGCUAAUCUCUCCCCACGCUUGUAACAACACUGUACAGACUCCCCUCCACCAAUAGUUACGAAAUUCAACAAUCGAAUUGCCUGUUAGAUCAUCACUCAUGUCGAAGUUGUACAGAGGUGUCAUUUGAAGCAAAGCACAUGCUCAAGCAAUAUCUUAUAAAUCAUUGUAGGAGUCAAAAUGCCAUGAUGAUCUCAAAAGAGUCAUGAUCCAUUUACAGCCAUUUCAGGUGAUGAUUUUGGAGGUAUUAAUGGAUAAUCCUCUCCUCUCUGCCUAUUAUCAGGAGAAGUGUGCAUGCUCUCAGAAUAACUUUUAGGACCAUUUGGUUCUCGGUGGUCAUGAUUAUCCAAAUCAGCACUCCCAUUAUCAGUAGGAUUCCCUUUCUCCUCGUGGUUGGACUCGACAGAUUUCUCAUCCCCAUCUGAGCAUGGACCAUCUUGUACUGUACUAUCCAUCUUUUUAGAGGGUAAAACUGCUUGACUUAAGGUUGAGCAUAAAGCAGCAAAAACACUGUCUCGAGACUUUGAACCUUUAGCAAUACGCUGCAACCUUUUUGGCUCAGGCUCUUCUUUCUGCAACAGCUUACGUUUCAACGGGAAAGACUCCACUGACCCAUCUACAUCAGAAUUAUCUGACUGCUUCCUAGGUGGUGGCUUAUAAUCUUCAUCCUCAUCAUCAUCAUAAUCAACAAGCCCCCCAGAUCUAAAGAACAGGAGUCUCAAAAUAUGUUCCCUUAGUUUAAUAAAUCCAGAUUCCAGCAGUAACAGUUACUUACCUCACAGGUGAGACGCUUGGAGCAGAUCCAUUAGGCAAGGCCGGCUGAGACUGCACUCUACUUGCAUUAGUCACGAAUGCUGAGGCAGAAUCUUCCUCGUCACUGAAGGAUACACAUAUUCAGUGUACCAUAUAUAACAUUUUUACAUGCAAAAAAGUAAAGGCAUACCUCUCUUCAUUGAAAUAUUCUUCUUCUUCUUUCUCUAAACCACGGUCAUCAACUCGUUUCCUAGGGUCGUCUAAUAGAUUACCGAUACUUCUCGUUCCUGCACUGUCUAGAGACUACAAAAGACCCAAAACCAUUAUGAGAGCCAAGCAUCACUAUCAAGAGUGUAAUGGUGAACAACAGGCCCAAUGAAUAAUACCUGCUCAUAUUUAAUUUUCAAUGAGUGGAUCGAUGUCAACUUUUCAAACUUGACCAGUUCAUCCCAGAAUGAGUCGACUAAAUACUUGAGCAAUAUCUUCAAGUUAUCCUGCAUUAUAUCAUGUCAGAUCCUAAGAAAUAAAGAAGCCAUGUCACAUUUAACUUUUGCAGUCUAAGCAGGUCAAGGAAGUAAGAUGCAACCUUACGAAUAUGCUCAAAAAGUUCAAGAACAGCUGAGUUUAGAAGAUUGUAGCGAUCUCCAUUAGCAACAAAGACAUCAACAACAGGUUUUAGGAGAUUGUGCUCUGCUAUGUAGUUCAUCAAAUUCUCAUCCUGCAGUUCGUAGUCAGAAGAAUUUUAAUAUAUUCACAAAUAUACAGAAGGGAAACACUCGAUGAUGAACAUAAAAAUAUACUUCACAGUUCAGUCUGCCAAAUUUGUAGCUUAUUGGCGGACAUGUGAAAUGACAUAAGAAGAAGAGAGAAAAACUCUAGCCGAAAUUGAUUGGUUAUACAUGAAAAGAUGAAAAUUGACUCAUGGUUAACCAUGUUUUUGUGUACGUAAUUUGCAUCUCCUUGAUGACUUUCUAAUACAACAUCUUACUUCAUAAAAAAAAAAAAACUCAAUCAUAGUGAACUUACUUCAAACCUACUACUCUAUCUCAUAAGUUCUGGUUACCAGGGAUUUUAGUACAUAUAAACUUAAUUGAUGCACAUAAAAUCGCAGGGUAGAGGAUUUAAUUAGAGGGUGAAAAUUUAUCUGUGCUGCUAGAAGAGCUUCAUCAUCUUACUUUUACAAAUUUUUGUUGCACAAAAUCUUACAUAAUAUCAAAAAGUUAAUUACUAGAUCGAAGUUUGGAUUUGAUUCUUAAUUUUGAUCACCCCUAUUCUACGCCUCAGUGGACUCUAGGAGUCUAAGGCGGUGUUUGGAUUAGCUUAUUCAUAGGUACUUUUGGCUUUUAAGCACUUUUUUGGUUUUAGAGGUGUUUGGAAAAGUUGAAAAGUGCUUUUAAGCACUCACCUUUAGGCCAAAAAAGUUCAAAAAUAAGCCAAAAGUAGGGCAUCCCCUACUUAUGGCUUUUAGCUUUUGACUUAUAAGUUGCUUUUUAUAAGCUUAUCCAAACAGGGCACUAAAGUACUUCAAGUCUUUCCAGUUUUACCUAGUUAUUAUAAGAUAAAAACCUGCAUAAGAUAGGGUCAUUAAAAAAAAACUUGCAUAAGAUAGCUACCAGUUUCAUUCAACAUUAACCAAGUCUCUUGGGCAAUCAUGAACUCAUGAAUCACCACAAGACAAACAGAACAAGACAGAAAUAAGGAGGAUCACUAAAAGAAAAAUUACAGGCCCAUCUACAGUGCUAUGCGAAAAGCCUUUUAUUUUAAUGACCCAGACAUUCCCUGCAAAAUUAGCUGGCCCGAUCCCAGUUGGAGCACAAGUUCGAACUCAUGACAUGCGCCUACCAUGUAUACCACGCUAUACUUCAUUUAUCGUUUGACCAAGGGCCAAGGCCUUGGGGGCUACUUAUAUUAAAACAUGUAAGAGCAUUUAACGGGGUAAAACAUUCACCAUAGAGGACAAAUAAAUCAAAACUUGAUCAAUUCAGUCAUGUCCACAGACAACACUCUCUUGCUUAAUAAAAGUAACAACUCACAUUGCGGGAAAUAAGAGUUCUCAUAAAUCUAACAGCAGCAACUACCAGGUACUUCUCUCUUCUUCGAGUAAGAAACAGAACUUUAUCUAUCACAUUAUUAAGAAGAAAGUUGCACCUGAAACACAGAAAAGAUAUCCACAUUAAACCAAAUAAUCAAAUUUAGCAUUUAAGAACCAAGUAAUUCCAUACCAAGAUGAGAAGAUUACUUUAUUCUGUAAGGAUGGUGCACAAUACAAAAACAUAGGAGAUCACAAAUAUUUAGUAGUAUUUCAGGCUUGACACUACUUUGCUUUCCAGUCCCUCCAUCAAAACUCUCAGAGUUACUGACAGCUUGGGUGAUACCAUCCGUCGGGCAAGAUGAUGUUAUAACAUCAAUGAGUUGACUUAGGUGCUUCUCGUAGAAGAUUUCAACAAUGUUCUCUUUCUGGAACAAAAUUAAAAGAAAAUAAUAAAAACAAGACUUCAAAAUAGUUGUUGAAAUGUAAGAACAAUAAGAUGAGAGACCCUUUUAUUUAUUUUUUAUGUAUCGAACACAUUGUGCGGAAGGGGGGAUCUUUGCAAAGCCAAGAACCCAAAAAUUUCAUUUCAUAAUAACGGAUUGUGAAAUGUAAACUCAGAAUCUCUGCAUACUCUGAUGCCAUGUGGAUUAUGUGAACCACCUCAUCAAAGAACUUGUGCAAUUAAAGAGGAGACACGUGCAUUUUCUUUGUUUUUUUCUCAAACAAUAGCAAUCGAAUACUUCAAAAAGCAAUUAAGUCACAAAAAAAACUAAUCCCCAUCCCAAAGCACAAGGGAAUCAAAUUGGAGAUGCUUUGUUUUUCGAUAACCGGAAAAUCUGUUGCUUCUAGUUUUGAAACUAGGUGAACAAUGGGUAAACUCCUUAACCUUUUCCAUUUAACUGCCAAACUUGAUCCAGAGCAGGAUUAAAGCUCAUUGUGUGUGCCUGCCACAUAUCCUGUGUUGUGCACCUUUGCCCUUGAACCGAAGCCCUGGGUAAUCAAGUUUGCAGAUGCUGAACCGCCUAAAAUAGUAGUGCCUCCACAGGCAGAUACUAAACCACCUAUAGCAGUAAUGCCUCUACAAGUUCAAAUUUCCCAUAGGUAUAUCUUUAGAACUUCAGAAAGGAGAGAAAAUAUGGUACCACACAUCAAAAUCAAGAAAAGGAAAUACAAUAAUGAAGAAACCAUAGAGAAAAUAAAGGAGAAAAGAACAGUAGCAACAACAAAUAAUACGAUAACCGAAGCAUAGGAAACAACAAGUAUAAAUAAAAUUGAAGCAUAGGGUAGUGGGAGAGUACUAAUAAUAAUACUAAUAAGGGACCUACUAACCUUCUACCAUAAUCCUUGACUUCCAUAUCCUCCUAUCUAGAGUCAUGUUCUCAGUAAGCUGCAUGUGUGCCAUGUCAACUAAUCACCUCUCCCUAAUUCAUUUUCGGCCUACAUCUACCUCUCCUAAUACCCACCAUAGCUAUCUCCUCACUGGGGCAUUGCGCGUCUCCUCUACCCAUGCUCAAACCAUCUCAGCCUUGCCUCCUCAUCUUGUCCACCACGGAGGCCACACCCACCUUGUGCCAAAUAUCUUUGUUCCUAAUCCUAUCUCUCCUAGUAUGCCCACACAUACAUCUAGGGAACAAGCAGUAGACGUGAUCAGAAUAUUGUAAUGCAGUAACUCCACUUAGACAGGUCAGAUAUUAUCAGUAUCUAGGGAACAAGCAGUAGACGUGAUCAGAAUAUUGUAAGGCAGUAACUCCACUUAGACAGGUCAGAUAUUAUCAGUAACAAACAGUGUAAUCCCACAAGUGGAGGUCAGAUAUUAUCAGUCCGAAAUAGAAUUUGUUAAAGAUCACUCACCAUCACUAUACUUGGGAAGACAUAAGAGAAAAUGCUAGAUCCAUAAGGAAAAAAGUACAUUGAACAUUAUGUUCGAAGUGCCAACCCCGUCAUUAACUUGACCACCCAGAUUUUUUUGGACAAGGUACUAAAAUUUAACUACCCGGAAAAAAUAAAAAGCUAGAACUGUCGUGGCAAAACCAGAAAAGCUAUAAGCAAAGCACCUGUGAUCCUGAUGCAUAUGAAUCCAAGAGACUGCGCAGAAUUUCAAGAAAUUGGCAAUGCAUAUCAUCCUCAAAAUCUGUUAGCAUACCUUUGACCUGCAAAUUUGAAGCAUGCUAUUACUUACUUCGAGUACCUUCCAUGGUGGCACUAAAAUUAACAAAUAUGGUCUAAGCCACAAAGGACAUGUCUUUCUGCUAAAAUUACAAAAAUAUCCAGCAUAGGAAACAGAAAACAUCAAAAAAAUGAGAAAUGGAGGAAAGACCAAAUACUUCUCCAGCACCAUUUGAUAGUAACAUAAAGCCAAGAAAAAAGAAGAUGUGUACUAAAAUUAACAAAUAUGGUCUAAGCCACUACAAGGACUUGUCUUUCUGCUAGAAUUACAAAAACAUACAGCAUAAGGAAACAGGAAAUGUCCAAAAAGAUGAGAAAUGGAGGAGAGACCAACCACUUAUCCAAUUAUUUAUAUCAUGAAUCAAGCACCGCAUUCACAGCAUAGAAUAACUGACCAUUCAUACAUGACAGAAGAUGCCUCAGAAGAACAUGUUGGAGGGGGCAGGCAUUAGAUAUCAAAACGCAUAUAUUGAAGCACAUCAUUGCAAAAAUAAAUAAAUAUUACAUGAAUGAAUGCAUCUUAAGAGAAAGGUAACCAACAGCCAGAGUCACACUGAUAUACUGGAUAUUCCAUUAGUCUCCACCAUCAGGCAAAAGUUGAUGUAAAAUUCUAAGGAAAAGAAGAGAAGAAAAAAACAAAAUUUUGCUCACCAGAAGCCCAAACAGUGCAAGACCUUCCUGGCGAAUUACAUAAGACCGCAGAAGAUUUGGAUCUUGAUUCAAGAAAAGAAUGAGGAUGUCUGUCCUGCAUCAGUUAGAAUCAUUUUGGAUGAGAAUUUCAUGGAAGCAAAAACUACAAUCAUUUUAAAAGACGAAAGAAAAAGGAAAAGAGUCUACUUGCUAAAAUAUAACGAUAUGGUCCAUUACCCCGUCAGGACUAGCUUCUUGUCUUGGCUCUCCAAAACAUCAGCUAUGAUAUCGAAUAUGCCUUCGUUAAUAAGAUCCCUGCAACCAUAAUAGUAUUUGCAGUUCUAUCAGCUCCAUUUGCUAUGAAAGCAACAUAAGAUAUAUUAGACUGAUAUUAAUACAAAAGAUGCAGCAUAUGAUGCAUACCUAAAUAGACGAUGUUGCUGGCCCACCUGCAAACUCUUACUCAAAGUACAAAACUCAUGCAAAAAGUGCACCUGCCCAAUCCAAGAAAAGGAAAUAACAAGUAAAGUAAUGAUGAGACUACAAAUACCCUUUCCCAGAUCUCCCGAUAAACAUCAGAAUAAGGAACAAAAAAGUAAAGGGUGAUAAUACUACCAACAUUUCAAGAAUAACUGACAAAGGAGUGCACUAUAAAGGAAUAUCAUUAGCGCAAGAACAUGCCAAAUGUUAGGAACAGGUUUUUGGAUUCAUAGUGAAACAAAAGACAAUAAUUGUUAGCACAUCACAGAACAAACUGGACUACAGGAAAGUAGCAUCAGUAGUAAAACUAAUGUUAAACAGACGCAAGGAUAUAUAAGUUUACCAAUUGCAGUCCCACCUAAGCUCAAGGUUUUCCUACAUUUCCAUUAAACAAAUUUUAUAUCUGACAAGAUGAGUAAUAAGAGGGGAGAGGAUCUUGACACAAUCAGAUCCCUAGAGGAAAGGGUGGAGCUCGAUUUUUUGUCAAAAAAAAAGGGUGGAGCUCAAGUACUUCUCACCAGUUGGCGUAAUAAUAAAAUUUUACUUUCAGUUGUCAAAAUAAAUUUUCACCAGUUGAUUCUAGACCCCAAAUCUAGCCUACACAGAAUUAUUAAUCCAUAGGUUGAAGGAGACGAUCCUGGAUUCUACUCAGAUUCCUCCCCAGCUUGUAUUAGAACUCAUAACCAUAAUGCUGGUCAGGACCAGGAUGCACAAAACACACGCACCGUUUACAUUUAAAAAUAUAUGGAUUUUUGCAUAAUAUUGGGGGGUUUGGGGGUUGGGAUAAUCAAUUACCCUCAAGUUUCUGCUUUGACCAAUUCAAAUUUAAUGAGAAAACAGCAAGCAAAGAAAAUAUAAGAGAAUGACCAACCAAAACAAAAAAUAGAUGAGUCCAAUGACUAAACGAACAAGCAAUUAUCAGAAGCUGACAACAUAAUGAACAAUUAAAUGUCUUCUGAGAAAAAAGAAAAAGAAACCAACUAAUAGCUGCAAUGCAACAGAGGCAACCCAAAAUAAAGAGGAAACAACAAUUUUCUUUACCAAAUUUUUCUUUGAUUCUGCAGAUGUAGAAGGCAACUUUAACUUUCCAAGCAAAUCCUGAAUGAAGGUGCUAUCAUCUUUUAAGAGAGAUACAACCUAUAUCAAAACCAAACAGUCAAGAACUAUAUUAACCAGAAGAAACAACAUUUUAACUUCAGGAAGAAGAUCUUACAACUGCAUUGUUUGAAUGGAUUAUGGAAUUAAGGUUUGCAACUAUUGCAUCAUCCAACACUCGAGGCAAAAUGGCAUCCUGAAAGUAAGCCUACAAACUGUAAGUUACAUUGAUAGUAUAAGGAUGUCAUCUAAAAAGUAAAACAUAAUCACCUUAAGAUAGCCAACUCGGUAUGUUUGAUGUAUCUUCGAUAGGACUAUCGAAUCUUUAAUAGAUAUAGCCUAACACACCCACAAGGAAAUAACAGAUAUCAAUAAAUGCAAACUGAACUAACAUUGAAGACAUUUCAGCAAACAUUCCUUAGAGGUACUAUUGCAGCAGGAAGAAAAGGUGUAGAAAAGAAACAGUGUACCUCCUUAAAGACCACAUGCUCUUUGAGAAAAUUGCGAUGAUGAACAUGAGGAGCAUCUGGAUCAUCUGUUGACCAAAAUAUGAAUCAGGUCGUCAGGACAUUCCAAAAUGAGAUCAAUGUCUUCAGAGUAAGAGGUUGGAGUAAGGGGUUGGCCAUUCAGUAUAUAAUAAUUAAACAAAAAGUUCUAUAGGAAUUAAAAGACAUUUUAACUAAAAGUUGAAAGCACUAGGAUCAAAAACGUACAUUCAAGACACCCAAUAAUAUCUAUUAUCAGCUCAUCACCAAAUAUUUUUUCAAAGAUCUGAGUGCUAUUGAGCAUCACUGCAAGAAACCAUUUCAUGCUGAUUAAUUCAAUCCCACAAAACAAGCCAAAGCAUACCCAAAUGAAGAUGGGAGACAAGUAGGAAAUACUAACUGAUUCCUCUCACUAUUUUGAAAAUAAUGUGAAGAUUCUCAAUAUUCUCCAGAUCUUCGGAAAUCCUAAAUAAAUCCAUCAGCUUACGGAAAAAAACUUGCUGCAGAACAAAAGAACCCGGUUCAGUACGAUUCACCUAUUGAUCCGGAAAACAAGAAGACAAAUGAUUAAACAAGUAAUUCUUAACAUGAACAGAAAUCAAUAAAAAAGCGAAACACUUGUCUUGUUUCGCCCUUUUUGGGAUAGGAGUAGGGAGGGCUCCUCUCCCGUUUUUCUCGUCUUAUACAUAGCGUCAGAAACUCCUCGAGAGUUCACCACUAACUUGAAUAGAAUACUGCACUUUGCAUAAAGAAUUUUCACAAACAGUACAAAAGAGUCGGUCAUUUCCAACUAUUCCAAGACUUGUAAAAGGAUGAAGGAGGCAUGCAAGGAGACAGCAGUGACUGAAGAUCUUUCAGAGUUUUGCCAGCGACAGAAAAAUCUUUACACAUCCAGAGUGAGUAGUGGACCUAUGUUGAGCUACCAGCUGGCCCAGAUUGUUUUCAGUUUGAUAGGAAAAGAGCCAAAGUGGUGAAAAACAGGAGGGGUGAAGAGGGGUGGGGGAAGGGCACUGGCAGUACAGAGUACUAACCUGUACAUAUAGCCACCACUUUAAAGGCAGAGCAAAGUUUAUUAUACCAAUCAAAAUUUUACAUCUAACUUACACAAAACAAAGUUAUAAUCAGCUGAUGGUUCAGUUCCAAUUUUUCCAACUUAUCUAUAACAGAUAAUCAAGUUCUCAUCCAGUUUUUGUUAAUGUACUUGAUAAUUGCUUCAAAAAGGUGAAGACUGGACAUCUAUGUUUUCAAGUGGGUAAUGAAUACGACAGCAAUUAAUUCUGAAGCUGACAUGCUCGAAGCAAUUUCACAACCAUCACUAAUCUUCAAUUUCUUUGUUAGGAGGAAGAUAUUACUAAUGCUAAUUUGAGGUCAUGAAAUCCCUCAUUCCAAUGACAAUUAAUUGUCCAAAAAGAAGUCAAGCUUAGAGAACUGCAAGAUUCAUGAAGCUCACAUCGUUCAAUAUUAGUUCGGUAACACGCAACUGAUCAGCAAUGCCACCCUCUACAACCGUCUGCAAGUCAAACAAUAAACAACAUUUUCAGAAAACAGUAAACAGUAUGAAAAGAUUUGCACGACUCGAAGUGUAUUGCCUUCACACACAAAAGCAAACAGAGCUUUUCCUAUAUUAUAUACGCUAUACCUUAUAAUUUUUACAUGCUUUUUUUUUUGCACCCAAGGGUGUGGCCUAGUGGUCAAUGAAGUGGUUGAGAACCCUAAGGCCUCAGAUUCAAAACUCAGCAGAGAAAAAAAAAAAAAACUAGGUGAUUCUUACCAUCUGUCCUAGCCUUGUCCAGCCUUGGUGGACAGAGUUACCUUGGUACAUGUUGCUAGUGGGAUGUAUCCUGUGGUAUUAGUCAAGGUGUGCAAAAGCUGGCCCGGACACCACGGUCAUCAAAAAAGAAUUAAAUGUUUUUUUGGUUAGUAUUGAGAAAGCAAUCCCCACCCCCGCCUGUUGAUUACUAAGGCACACCCUCAAGUGCAACUUAGAGAUUUGGUAAUUAUCAAGGCAAUAUAAGAAAAAGACAUUUCAACUAUUUUAAGAUAAUAAAUGUUGAAAGGAUGACAAAGAUAAACCUUUAAUAUCAAGGGAAGCGUAGAAAGCUCAACGGGGGGUAACUCCUUCAAAUCACUGUUGACACUAUGAAAUGUCUCAUCUGAAAAUAGUAAAAGAAAAGAAGAAAAGAAACAAAUAAGUCAUGCACAUAAAACCUUUUUCCAACAGGUAUGAAAAAAUUAGUCAACAAAAAUAUCAAUAGUUAUUUGUAAGCACAAGAGAGCCCAAUGAUAGGUGUCCCAGAAGUAGGAGAGAAACUGUGUGGACCUAUUUUUGUAAAAGGCAGCAAUUUAUUCUUUCCUUGUCAUCAUCCUUCUAAAUUUUACUCUUCUUUUCCAAAAACACUCAAGACUACACCAUGUGUUAUCAUGUGACUCGUGUCUCUCCACUGGAGGAUCUCUGCUAAAGGUGGACAGCAGAACAUACCCUCAAAACCCCCAUUUGUCAGUUAAUUGAAAAUGUCGAAAAUGAAAUGUGAACUUGAGAAACAGACUUGGUAAUAUCUCUGGAAGCUAAUUUCUAUAUUUUGUAAUUAAGCAGGAGUACAAUAUCAAUACAUAUAAAGUUAAAAGUGAUCCUUGACAAUUAACACUUCGCCAAGAAAAUAAGAACAAAGGAAGAACUCUACCAGUCAAACGACAAAAUACACAUAACAAAUCAUUACAGAUUUAUAUAUCUUAGCUUCACGCCUAAGCAAUAGAGUAUAUCUGUAUAGAAGAACACCAGUAUACAAGAAGUAUACCAAAAAGUAGAAAAGCUUACAAAAAGAUAUGUCUUUCUAUGAAUGGCACCUAUUCUUUUUAUUUUUAAGUUUAUAUACCGAGAAAUCCAUCUAGAGCACAACCCUUAAGACAAACACAACCUUCAAAACUAGAGAGAUGAUGGGCACACCCUCCACCCUUCUCCAUUUAAAUACUAGGCUUAGGCUUGGCAUAAGGCUUGACCCCAUGACCUAAGCCACAAUCUUCCUCAACCUUUACCAAGUGAGCUAAGCUGUGCAGGGGAACUUACAUUUAAUCUUCUAUACCUACAGCAACCUCGUGGGUGCACCAAAAGGAAAUAAAGAAUAAGAAGAUAUUUCUCAAGUGUAAAAAAUCCAUCUCUAUUCCAUCAAAAGCUCUUAUAAUUUUCUCUCCUCAUAUAGUACAUAUAAGUAUUAGUGAAGUAACAUCGCAUGCCUUGCAUCUUCUCGUUUGUCUAGGACAAGUCUAGCUAAAUAAUACUUUUUUGAAGGAGAAUUUCUAUAGCAUGCUAUUUCUCAAUGCAUCCAGAGGAUUGCGGUGAAGCAACCCAAUAUCGUCAAUAACACAUCUCGUUUGACUCUGCCUAAAAUCAUCAAUAAUGUGCCUUAGAUAAACUAAUUUUGGUUCCCAGCAUCAAAAUUUAUACAUAUCAUGACAAUAGCAAUUAAGUGUUUAAUAAUAGCAACUGAAUUAUUCGUCGGGAAACAUUUUCAUGCUAAAUCAUGAUAAUUGCAAUUGAGUUUUACAUUUCCUGUUUGGCUAUUGAACCACAUAAUGCUAACCCAAGUAGAUUAAUCUCAUUUCAUUUUGAUUAAUUGGAGAACAAUAGACCGAAACUUUUCAAUGUACACACUGCAUAUAUCCUCAUGGGGCCAGAAAUAUGACUAUUCCCACGUGAGUACUAUAUUCACAGACAAACUUUUGAAACUCAGCAUCAUGGGAACUCAAUAAUGUUCCAUUUGUCAAGUGUACAAAAAGAUUACUCUAUAGACUCACUGUUAAGACUACUGAAGUGCAUGUUCCUUUGCACGCUACAUAUAUGGUCCCUACAAAAAACAAAAACAAAAAAAAGACAAGAUGUUAUCUGCUGGUGUUUCUAACAGCUUCUAUAAAAUCUAAGCAACCUUAAUACAAAUAGAUUAAGGAUGGUAGUAUAACCAAGAAAAGAGGAGAAAAAUACAAAAUCAAUUUCCAAAAACUUGCCAUAUAUAGGAGCAACCAGUCGUCUCUUGAAAGCUAAGAGCUAGUUCAGUUGAAUAUUCCGGAUCCCUCCAAGAUAUAAUUGUAUCUGAAUAGAAGAACAUGUUUUCUCAUGAAACUGUACACUAACAUAACAGAAGUAAUAAACAGGAAGAAAGGAGACAAAACUAUGGAGCUGGAGGACACCUUCUUGCUUCCGAUAGAUAUCAUCUGCACUGAUACGGUGCAGAAGCAAAGUCUCAUGAUCUUCUUCAUCAGCUACAAGCAAUCCUAGAUCUUCUGACCUCUGCAUUGACAUCCACAAUCAGAUGCAAUAAAAAUUAACCCCUCCCAAUCAGUGCAAAUGACACGUUAUUUGCCGACACAAACAAAAUGGCAUAAGCUGAACAUCAAUAUUCCACGAACACUUACCUCUAUAUAAUCUACAGUAACAUGACCUGUUCCUUGAUCAUCCCAUUUCCCAUCGUCAUUCAGGCGAUAGACCUUUACACGCUGCAGUGCAGAUGAGACAAAGGUUAAUAUUACAGAAUUGAUGUAAUACAAGAACAGAAUAACGACCAACAGCAAAGCUAAACAUAUUAGCAGGUAAAGCUGCUUAAAGUUCCUCAGCCUGUAAAGAAAUCAUAGUUGAGACACGGCAGGAAGUUUCUUCUUUCUUAGAGGUUUGUGUGUGUGUGUGUGUGUGUGUGGGGGNNNNNNNNNNNNNNNNNNNNNNNNNNNNNNNNNNNNNNNNNNNNNNNNNNNNNNNNNNNNNNNNNNNNNNNNNNNNNNNNNNNNNNNNNNNNNNNNNNNNNNNNNNNNNNNNNNNNNNNNNNNNNNNNNNNNNNNNNNNNNNNNNNNNNNNNNNNNNNNNNNNNNNNNNNNNNNNNNNNNNNNNNNNNNNNNNNNNNNNNNNNNNNNNNNNNNNNNNNNNNNNNNNNNNNNNNNNNNNNNNNNNNNNNNNNNNNNNNNNNNNNNNNNNNNNNNNNNNNNNNNNNNNNNNNNNNNNNNNNNNNNNNNNNNNNNNNNNNNNNNNNNNNNNNNNNNNNNNNNNNNNNNNNNNNNNNNNNNNNNNNNNNNNNNNNNNNNNNNNNNNNNNNNNNNNNNNNNNNNNNNNNNNNNNNNNNNNNNNNNNNNNNNNNNNNNNNNNNNNNNNNNNNNNNNNNNNNNNNNNNNNNNNNNNNNNNNNNNNNNNNNNNNNNNNNNNNNNNNNNNNNNNNNNNNNNNNNNNNNNNNNNNNNNNNNNNNNNNNNNNNNNNNNNNNNNNNNNNNNNNNNNNNNNNNNNNNNNNNNNNNNNNNNNNNNNNNNNNNNNNNNNNNNNNNNNNNNNNNNNNNNNNNNNNNNNNNNNNNNNNNNNNNNNNNNNNNNNNNNNNNNNNNNNNNNNNNNNNNNNNNNNNNNNNNNNNNNNNNNNNNNNNNNNNNNNNNNNNNNNNNNNNNNNNNNNNNNNNNNNNNNNNNNNNNNNNNNNNNNNNNNNNNNNNNNNNNNNNNNNNNNNNNNNNNNNNNNNNNNNNNNNNNNNNNNNNNNNNNNNNNNNNNNNNNNNNNNNNNNNNNNNNNNNNNNNNNNNNNNNNNNNNNNNNNNNNNNNNNNNNNNNNNNNNNNNNNNNNNNNNNNNNNNNNNNNNNNNNNNNNNNNNNNNNNNNNNNNNNNNNNNNNNNGGGGUGUUCUAAACAAAAUAUACAAAGAUAGAGCUACAAGAAUGUAGAAGAAUAUCUACAUUGGUCUCCAGAAAGGCACACAGAACAAAAGAUGCUACAAACUACACAAAUAUUCCAAUCCUUCCUGCACACCUGAAUUGGAGACAAUAUUUCAGCUGGGAACGACAAACCAAACUUAGUUCCCUCAUGUAACGAAUUUGCACCUUAUAAAAAAUAACGGGUAGCCUAAUCGUGCCUUAAUUAACUGUAGUACAUCUUUUAUUUUAAUAAAAGAGACAUCACAUAUCCUUUUUUUUCUGCAGAAAACUGGAUAGAGUUUAAUACCCAAAAAAAAAAAAUCCUUUUGAGAGAAGGUAAUUGUAGUUUAAUGCCCAAUCUCACAUCCAACAGAAUACAAUUACUCCCUCCACGACAAGUAUCAGAUGGUCAAGUUACUGGUAUAAGAAUAGGAAAUGCAAUAACCAUCUAUAUUUUCAAAUGACCUAACCAGGUAAUAUCCUACAUCAGCAUAAGGUCACCUCUACUGUUAUGUCGACUGAUACACACAAAGAAAUUUUACCAUUCUAACAAACUCUACACUAAAUGUGGCUCUUGAUAUCAAUCUGUUGAUCAACAAACAUGUCACAAUUCCAAUACAACUAGAGUAAGCUAUGAAGAUCCACAAUAUCCAUUGGCUCAUUCCAAUGCUAAAUAAAAUGCCUCAGACAAAUUAGGCUCCCUAAAUGAAUCUUAACUAUUUGGUACCACCUUUAAAUAUUCUUUAAAACAUGAUAUUCUAUUCUUAGCUACUGUUGCAAGUCAAGAGCAGAAGCAGACGGAGAAUCAUAACAACCAGCAUAUGGUGGACUAUUUGGAGGGAAAGAAAUCCUAGGUUUUAGAGAAAAUAGAGAAUAGUAUACACACACACACACAUAUAUAUACAUAUAUACACACACACACAAAGUUACAAUUUUCCAAAAAACAAAAUAGCAAGUUUGCCAAAGCUUCUGGGAAACCCAAAGUGCUUAUUUUAUUUAGAAAUGUUUUUGAGUAGUAGCAGAAGUUGUUUUUCAGAAGCUGAAAAAGUUUUUUUUCUCUGAAGCACUUUUGAACAAAUUGUAGAUCUAAUAAUGGCCAAAGGAUUUGAAAAGACUUCCCAAAUGAAAUUUCCAGACACAAACUGCUAUUUUUUUUAUGAAGUAGAGGCAUAUAAAUAACAAAAGCAUCGAGGAAAUGCGUAGGUUACAAAAUAAAGGAAGAACAAUCUGUCAAAAGACAAGGGAGCUGAUAAAUUCCGUAAAAGAGUAUGGGCUAUUCUCACUUGAUCGGAAAAAAAAAGUCAAGGCUAUUCUCCAAAAGCUUUUUUACUGCAAAAGCACUUUUGAUAAAAAAGCACUUCUCAAAAUAAGCAGAUUAUGGAAGCUUUACAAACAGGAUUAAGUCUUCAUUAAUUCUGAGAGGUUUUCGGCAUUUUGAGGGAACUUCCAAUGUGUGAUUAUAGGUUUCUCCCCCUCCUUUUAUUACUUUUUUCUUAAUAAGUAAUGAAAAGUUCUCCUUUAUUACCUUCAAUCCUCUUAUUGUUAAACACCUACCAAUCAGUGGAUUUGGAGGUUUAUGCAAGAUAAGACCUAAUAAUCUCUAGCAAUCUUCUCCGAUUUCGUCCUCUAUAUUUGCUCUUUCCAUCUUCUACCAGAUCUAAACAAUUUUCAUAUUAUUUUUUGAUAAAUAAAUAGAGCACAAAAAUUCAUGUCGCCGAAAAUGGAUCAUUUCUAAUAUGUCCAAUCUUGUAUUAUCGUAAACCAUCUCUUCAUUAUACAGAAGAAAAUAUUAUUAAUGUACAAGGACAAGCACUAAACUAAUGUUGGACAUAACAAAAUGGGAGGCCCAUAUAUACAAAAUACAAAUACAAAUCAUAUGACAUUCAUCGUGUGGACACAUUAAGCCUCGGACACCCACAUUUACACCCAUAUGUCAUUGUUGUUUCCAUAUAAUCGUGUUGGUCUCACAACAGCUUUAUAAAUUUGCAUAAAAUGUUGUUAGGUAUCAUCUUCUUUUUUGAGAAUGAUAUGCUGCUAGGUAUCUUUUGGUCGUAUAGUAGUCUUGUAAUACUCCAUUUUUCAACCAUAUUUUUUUUAAUGACCGUGGUGUCCGCCCAGCUUUCGUGCACCUCGACCCAUUUCAACCAUAUUAUUCUAAUUCAAUGUGUUACAUCUUCAUCUAUGAUCCAUCACAUCAUUCUUCCGGAAGACUAAAGCCCACACAUUUAGGUUGUCAGCAUUUAGGCACAAACAAUCCUAAAUUAUCUAAUUCACGAUCAUUCUUCUUAUCCUAAAACCCUUGCACAAUAAAGUGCUUCUCACAACCAAACUUCCAGCCUACUCCUUCACAUGUUAAACUUCAAACAAUCUAUCAAAGCUAUACAUCUCCACAAAAAUCAACAUCAGCUAGCCAGACUUGUUCAAUUUAUGCCCUCGUUUAUCCCAGACAUUGUUUAACCUCACAAAAGGUGGAGGAUGUUGAAUAUUGUGUGUCAAUACAAAGACAAAAUUGAUUCUUUCUUUGAGCAGUGUAUUAAGACAAAAAUAGCUUUGUGAUCUAUCACAUUAAGUUCGCUUUCUUGUUCCCUCAAUAACAUAACAAGAUCCCUAAUGAGACUGUACACAAUUUUCAAUUCUUUUUUUCCACAAAAAAUCCAGAUGGUAUGGGAAAAUUUUCUCCUGAUGCCUAACGAAAAAGUUGACUUUUAGAUUCUAACAUACAAAUCAAUAAUGCAGGUCCACUUUCAGUAAGACUGAUCAGUACCGAAACAACAUAACUUAGUCUAAUAUCAACUGCGGAGGGAUGAAUAUUAUAGAUAACAAAACCCAUAAGAAUUCAACAGGAUACAAAGCAAACAUAGAAGACAUAAUAUUCCACCUUGCCACAAGUACCUUCUGAAAUGAAACUGAACCAAAACAUAAAUGCUAGAGUAGCACUGCGGAAAAAACCCAGCAAAUAUGAUUUUUUGAGCUCAGCUACCUUCAUACAAGCCCCAAGGCUUUGACAUGUGUCCAAAAGUGAAAUACUUUUUUGGUAACGGAUAUAUUCUGAGACAGGUUAUGUAUUUCUAGCUCAAACGGAAAGACAACAACAAAGCAAAUUCCCCUCGGACCCACUUCAUAAAUACUCAUACCUAGAAAUCCCCUAAACCAAUGACUCAGUUUGAAAUUCACUGUAUAAUUGGCUUUCUCCACGAUAAAAGAAAAAAAUUGACUCCAACUCAAAAUAUAGCCGGUACCAGGUCCCAAGUCCCAAUAAAGAAGUUUCACAAUACCUUAGCAGCCAAAAUGCACAAUACACAGUCAAAUUCUAGUUAAAUAUCCAAUUCCAGCUAGUUCAAAAUUGAGACGUAAUCAAUUCCAUGAUAAUUGAUUUCAAAGGGAAAAAAAAAGCUAAAUCAGUGUGACUUUAGUCUUUGGGGUUACAAAGCAAAGAAGCGAUUUUCGACUGAUGAAAUUCUGUAUUUCUAGCUCAAAUGCGAAGACAACAACAAAAGCAAAUCCCCCUCGACCAGUGGCUCAUAUUCAAAAUUCAAUGUAUAAUUGGCCCGCCCCCCUACUCCUCUCCACUUCAUAAGCACGUUUAUCAUACUUCUUACCUCAAUUUUCAAACCAAUAAAAAAAAAGUAACCUCACACUCAACCUACAGAUGCAAAACAUAUCCUGUCCCAAUAAAGGAGUUCCACCUUACCUUAACAGCUAACAUAAAAUAGUUAAACUAAAAUCACAUAUACUCAAAAUCUAGCUAGUUCGGAAUUGAGACGUAAUCAAUUCUGUAUUAAUUAAUUUCAAAGAAACAAACAAAAAAGGAGCUAAAUCAGUGUGAAUUCAGUCCUUAGGGUUAUAUAAAGCAAAAGGAACGAUUUUUCCAAUUGAACAAUCAACAAAACUAACCUGCAUCGGAUUACUAGAGUUUGAUGACUUCUCUUGAGCACCCAUAGAAACUUCUAGAACCCAAAUUUCACUGUGCCUGCUGUUUUCGGGAGAAUGAUUGAAAUUAGGGUUUUUGAGUUGCAAAAAAAGGGGAAAGAGAGGAAGAGAUAGAAAUGAAGUAUUUGAGGUUAUUUUGGGUAUAAAUUCGGGAUCAAUUCAAAACCCUAACCGCCAUUGAUGAGUAGUGAAUCUUCUCUCUUUCUCUCUCUUCUUUCUCUCUCUCUUCGUUUCUUUUUCUUCUGAAGUGUUCGUGCCUGACCUGACCUUUGGGAAUACAGAAGCAGUACAUUUGUUGAUUGUACAAAAUGACUUUAAUGCCCUUAGAUUGUGAGAAAAAUAUUGGAAUUGCCACUGAUGAAAAAUAAUUUAUAAAAUAUUUAUAUUGAAAAAACUAAAAUAUAUUUAUAAUAAAAAAGUGUCCGGAUUCGUAUAGAGUAAUAUGUGCACCACUUUUUUAGAAGCUUUCGGCUUAGAAGUUUGUUCGGCCUUCUUUUUGACUCAUCCUUUGUUAUUGGCUUCAGAUACACCGCCUUAGGAUUUGGUGUGCUCGUUAAGGUUUUUUCACCAUUGUAGUGAAAGAAAAACGACUAUAAUAUUAUAUUUAUUACGAUUCAAUCUCAUAGCAUGUAUUGUUUAUUUUGGUCGGAUGAAUCUCGCAAAUUUGUCUAUUAGACAACAUUAUAGCCCAAAAGUGUGUGUACCUAUGAACUUGUCGUACGCAUUAUCAAGUUAUGCACUUUCAUCUCUCCUUCUGACGUGAGAUUCACCUAAAGUGUCAUGUACAUUGGUUUACCCUCCAAAUUCACGACAUUGCCUACCUAUUUGAUCAAAGUGUCUUACAAUUUAAUAACAAUAACAUAUUUAUAGUCUCGCAAAUAAGGUUUGAGGAGAAAGGUGUAUUUAUCGUCUUUAAUGAUUAAAUUCACACUUUAAACUAAAUAUGAUGACCAUCAUAUUGCCAUUUUGGUCUUUUCCACAUGGACCAAAAAGAUCUGUCUAUAAAAACAAAAUAUCUUGUAUUGCUAAGUUGAUUCUUUAGACAUAAAAAUAUAUUGGACCAUCCUUAACAACUUAAAAUGUGAAUGAUAUACACAUGUGAAACAAAUAAGGAAAACUAACCUUAACUAACUUUUGGAACACCAUUAAUUCAUCAUUAUCAAAACUCAAAAAAGAAGAAAAAAAUAUUUUAUUAGGUAUGCAAUAAUAAUCUAUAGUACUAAGAAAAGGGCCCACUAUUCAAGUGUUAAAAGAAGAAUGGAGCCUCACACAACUAUUGUUGGUUGAGCCACUAUCAUUAUAAAAAAAAUUCUCAUAUUUCGCUAAACUUUUAACUCACUCAAUGACAAUAAAUCACACAAAAAUUUAAAAAUACAAGAAGAAGAAGAGUAGAAGAUUAAAAACAAUUGUUGUUGAAAAAUGAGAGAAAGUCCCUCUAUUUAUAGUCAACAAAGGGUAGUAUAAACAAAUUUUUUUGUGUCUUAUCUAAAAAGUCAUGACCUUUUAUGAGAAAUUACAACCCUUUCGAAAAGUCAGAACUUAUUGAAAAAGUCACAAUCUUUGGAAAAAUCACAAUUCAUCGAAAAAUCACAACCCUUUGAGAAAAAUCACAACUCAUAUGAACAAAUGUUUUUGUAUCUUAUCUGAAAAGUCAUGACCUUUCCGAGAAAUCUCAACCCUUUGAAAAAGUUACAACUUAUUGAAAAAGUCACAACUCUUUAGAAAAGUCACAACUCAUCGAAAAAACUCAACAAUUUGAGAAAAGUCAUAACUCAACAAAAAAGUCACAACCUAAGUUAGGGAUAUUAUAGUAAUUUAACAUUCAAGUUAGGAGNNNNNNNNNNNNNNNNNNNNNNNNNNNNNNNNNNNNNNNNNNNNNNNNNNNNNNNNNNNNNNNNNNNNNNNNNNNGUUAUAGUAAAUAGUAUUUGCUUAUUUAAGCGAAGAUUUGAAUAAUAAGCUUAGCAAAACAUAAUACUCCAUCCGUUUCAAAAAGAGUGACCUAGUUUGACUUAACACGAAUUUUAAGAAAAUAAUGAAGACUUUUUAAAAAAAUUAUCAGUUAAAUGCAAUUAUGUAUACAUUUAUUUUAAUUUGAUGAGAUUCAAUCAUGUAAUUAGUCUUAUCUCACUAAUAUUACCUUAUAGAUAAUAUUUGUUUUUGCAUUUUUCUUGUCAUCUAACCAGAUGUGUUUUGCAUGUGUAUUCUACCUUAAAUUGUUUAGAUAUCAUAUGAACAUGUGAAGAGAACAACUAUAUUUUAUAUAUUCACAUAUUUUCACAUUUGUUGUGAGUUUUUUUUUUUUUUUUUAAAGAACUCGAAACAUUUUGAAAUAACAUAUUUUGAAGUAAGAAGAUCUCGUUAACUUGAUAACACAUUUGUGACAUAUAUAAUACUUUAAUUUAAAUACAAAUACAUACCCAAAUUUAAAUAUAUAUUUGCAUAAAUGAAAAUAUCUAUCUCAUAAAUUAGGUAUUAAAUAAAAAAUAAAAAAUAAACUAAUAUAAACUUCAACAUGCGUUAUUACAAGUCAUAUGAACUUUUCUUCGUCUAAAAUACUAAAAUAUUAAGAAAUAGUAAAUAAGUAAAACAAAAGAGCAAUGUUUAUUUAGUACUAUCUAUUUUGAACCAAACUUCCUGAAAGUCUAAAUCACAUGAAUAACAUUGAUAAAUAUAUUCAUUCUUUUGUCUUGAGCAUCAAAAACAAAUCGCAACAAUUCUCUAAAUUUGAGAAAAAGAUAUUUAGAAGCAUAUAUCUACAUCAUAAGAGAAAUUGUUAACAAAAACAAAUAAAUUUAGACUACAUAAUGGUAACUUCAUAUAUAUGAACAUUACAUACUAAUGUAUAUAUUAAGAAAAACAACAAUUAUUAUAUCAUCAAAAUUAUAUUAUUUUCCUCAAGUACUCGAGGUUAUGGACACUUUGAAAAAGUCACAACCCUUUGAAAAAAGUCACAACGUUAAUUAGGAAUAUUAUAGUAAUUUAACAUUCAAGUUAGGAGUUCAUGCUUUUAAGGUAAUAUAGAUAUAGAUUAGAAACCUGGUUGAAUUACCUGGUAUGCUAGUCAGUUAAGGACACUGUUUUUCUAGGAUAAACAAGAAAGCACUGAAAGAAGUGUUAAGUUCCAUAAGAUGGUUAACAGAAUGGAAAUUUUAGCCCAUAUUUGUAUAGCUCAAUCUAACUUUCAACAAGUGCUAUUUCUUUUGCACUACUGAGAUUAUACUCACCAAUCUGAUUGCAGAUUAGGACUCUAUCAAAGAGCCAUACCCAACACUAACAUAAAUAAGAUCUAUAUGUAUCAUUUCUCCAGUGCAGAGAAAACCUUAGGACGAUAGUUUUCAGCAUGCAUAGUUGGAGCUCAACAAUGGAUCACAUAGCUUAAACUUAAGGAAGACAAUUCACAUAUGCAGGAAAACAAUUAUCUCGAAUAAGCAAAUCCAUAAACCAGAUGACGUUCCACAAAAGACUAUACAUCAACAAAUCAGAUAACACUAGUUGGAGUCUGCUAUGUGAAUCCUCCAAAUUGAUUCAGCCUUCUUCCAUCUUCCCUUUUCAGUCCAACUAAAUAAUUGUAUUUUAAGACCAACUAGAGAUUUUCUAAAUUAUAAUAACAAAUGAUAAGGCUGAAAAACACGCUGAUUGCACAAGUGACGAAUUGCUAAAUAAGCAUAACAUGAAUUGCAAGGGUAGUGGCGUUAAUGUAAACUGUUUCCAUUGAAAGAGUAAUAGAUUAAUAGUCAAAACAAGGUUGCAUACUAACUCAAGUAUCCACUACAAAUACCAAAACAUCAAACAAAGCUUCAACAAACUCAAAGAUUGCCUGUCAUAAUGAAUAGCUCAUUACUAUAACAAUUCAUUUACUUUUCAGCAGAUUCAACAGUCUUCGGGUUGUGCUUCCUAGCAUACCUCUGGUUCCUCAAAAACUUGGGAUCCAUCUGCAUUUUACCACAAAAAUAAAAAAUCACCAAACUAAGGUAUAACAACAGAUCAACUUUUUCUUUGUUACUUGUUUUCAUAAGCAAAUUCAUAGUCUUAUAUCAGCAAUUAUAGAAUAUCGCUACACCUACUAUUACUCUGUGGCAGUGAUAGCACUUGGUAUAACAAAGUAUUUUGCUUCAAAACUGCUCAUAUUUAAUAAUAUGGUUUACAUUUGCCCGAUCUAAUAACCUUUACAUCUACAUAUCCAAAUAGUUUGAAGUCUAAACGAGAAUCAACUAAGAGAACAGAUGUUUUUUUAUUCAUAAGAAAAUUCAUGAAUCUAUAUCAGCAGAUACAAAUAUUUUGACACCUACUAUUACUUGUGCAGUGGUAGAACUUAGAAUGACUGCAUAUUUUUGUUUUUUUAUAAAAAAAAAGGAGAAAAGAUGUGUCGGGGGAUCAUAAGAAAAUCCGUCAGAGUUUAUAUCAUCAGAUACACACCUAAUACUACAUGUAGCAGUGGUAGAACUUAGCAUGACUACAUAUUUUGUUUUAAAACUGUUCAUAAUAUAUUAAAGGUCAACAUUCACCGGUUUAACAACCAUACAUCCACAUAUAAACUGAGGAGAAAAGAUGAGAUUCUUAAUCAUAAGCAAAUCCAGGAUUUCAAAUAUCUUUGCAACUACUAUUGCUGUGUGGCAGUAAUAGAACCAAGUAUAACUACAUCCUUUGAUUAAGAAACUGUUCAUAUUAUAUAAAUGGUCUACAUUCGCCUGAUUUCGUAACCUUACAUCCGCAUUUUAGCUCAAGAUAGAAAAAUCACCAAACUUCAGUAUAACAACAAACACACUUUUUCUUUCAUCACUUCUUGCAUAAGCAAAAUAGCAAAUCCAUGGAUAUCUAUAUACCUACUGUUAACAUAUAAGGAUAUAUUUACACCUACUAUUACUUUGAGGCAGUGAUAGAAACUGUCCACACACAUUUUGCUUUUAAAACUGCUCAUAUUAUAUAUAUAGUCUGCAUUCCCCCGAUUAAGUAACCUUACAUCUGCAUUAUACCACAAGAUAGAAAAAUAACCAAACUUUAGUAUUAUUUUUUAUCUGCAUUGAUAGGUUUGAGAUCACCAAACUUAAGUAUAACAACAAAUUCACCUUUUCCAUUAUCACUUCUAUGUUCUAUCAUAAGCAAAUCCAUGGAUAUCUUUACACCUACUAUUACUAUAACAUUGUGGCAGUGUUAGAACUUAGAAUAACAACAUAUUUUGUUUCAGAAACUGUUCACACAUACACACAUUCAUCAAAUUGAAUAACCUUAACAUAACAUAUCCAAAUAGUUUUAAAAUCUCACAAAAAUAAGCACAGAAAGGAGAAAAGUUGGGUUUUUUAACAGACCCCUUUGGUGGAACUGUGACGAUGCUUUCUGGGUUUCUUGAUUCCAUUCCUGUGUGCUUUGUAGGACUGAUUGUGAGCUGUGUGAUUCUUCGACUUGGCCAUUUCUUCUCAAAGUAACUGCAAAACACAAAAAAAAUACAAUAAUAAGGAAAAAUCCGGUGAAAAAUCACCUCAAAAUUCUCAAUUUUUUCGAGUGGGGUUAGGGUACCUGUUGCCGGCGAUUAGGGAUUUUACCAGUGAGGAAGAAAGUGAAAGAGGAGAAUGAAUUAGGGUUCUUAUGGGUUUGAAACCCUAAAGCUAUGUGAAAUGACGAAAAUAGCCUUUGAUUUGGUUUUGAUGUAGUAUGGGCCUAGAUUGUUUUGUGUAAUAGUUAGUUUUUCUCUUUGUGAAGUGUACACAUAACUAUUUAAAAACUAACCAAGGUAUUUAAAGUUUAAUCGCUUCAUAAUCAACUUUAGACUUGGGGAGUUUGAAGUUGAAUAGGGUCGAGCAGUGUGGAUCCAGGAUUUCCAUUAAGGGGGCUCGGAAAAAAAAAUUAGUGCCUAAGAUUUGAAUUUGGAACCUCAAGGUGAGUUUUGAACCCCUCAACUACUAAGUCAACCUCUAAUCUUACAUUCAAGAGGUUCAAAAUCAUAGACAUAAAAGUUUUUUAAAAUACCUUAUACAUACAAUGUAAUUUUUUGCAUAGGGGGUUCGGGUGAACCCCCUCAACUACCUCUAGGUCAGCCACUAGGGUCGAGGUUUGAAGUUAGAUUAUGUCAAAGUCAACACAUAAGAUUUUGAAUGUAGUUCAAAUUUAAUGUGUCAAGUUUUUAACUAUCUAAUAACCUUUUCACGAAUAAUUUAUUGAAAUGAUAUAUACAUUAUACUUUUAAGAUAUAGUAGUCAAUGUAUGGGUAAUUCAAUAAUAUAUCAAUGAAUUUAUUAUAUAUAUACAAGUAUUGUGUAAAAUUGCAAAGGAGGAGCAAUAAUAAUCAUAUUUGAAAAUUUUAGAAACCGUCUAUAUUUUAAAUGGCGUCAUUAUUAUCUAAAGCUUUGAAGUGUUAAAAAUUGAAACUCGUAGUUGUGGAUAUGAAGUUUGUUUAAGUAAUGUAAAUUCUUAUCUGGACAUGUUAAGGUAAAAAAUAGUUUUUGAUAGAAAAAAAUAGUUGUUCUCUUCGACAUAUUAAAGUGUUCUUAAUGGGGAUGCACAUUCGUUGUUGUUACUAUAGGGUCAUGAAGCAUAGAUAUUAUACUCAAUGGUGUCAAACUUUCGGUUAUUCUAUAACGUGUUGGUGUUGUUUUUGAGCAAGAUACAAUCUAUUAACUCAUUUAUGAUUUCUUAGGUUUGUCACCAUGUUUCUAAGUGAUUUUCAACCAAUAACGAUAAAUAACUGAUAAACCAAUAUCUUAAUAGUUCUUAAUGAUUUAACAUGUUUACAAAGCGAUAAACUUCAAAACCGAACCAAAUCGACUGAUACACAACCCUACAACAAACUAUUAAGAAAAUUUUAAUUAAUACUCCCCCGUUCCUUUUUAAUAAGUAUUUAUAUUAUACAUGACAAUUAAAAAGGAGCGGACGGAGUAAUAACAGUAAAUACAAAUUUCUUUAUAAUCUACUUAGGUAUUAUGCCGAUCUGGUUAUCUCUUUAAUGUAUAUAUAUAUAUAUAUAUAUAUAUAUAUAUCACCUUCAUCAGCUUUUGGUUCUUCGUUUAAUCUUGCCUCUUGCUGGAAUUUGUUUCUUUUUUGUGCAUCUUCGUUAUGUUUUUGUAACUGAAUUUGGGGGAUUUUGGUUCUUUGGCCUAAACCCAAUGCUUUAGCCCUUGAAGCAGCCAAAAUAUAUGAAAUGCUUGUAAACUGUCCUCUUAGUCCAUCUCAGUGUCAGGAUUGAGAGUCCCUUCGUAUUCCAGCUGCAAUAAAAAAAAAAAAAGUUGGUAAAAUGUAGGUGAUAAAAAUACUCAAAUGUUGUAUCCGAUUGUAUCUCACAAAAUAGGGAAACGGCUCAAAUAUACUAUCGAACUUUGAGAAAGGCUCAUUUAUGUUUGAUGGUAUAUUUGAGUUUUUUCCCCUAACAAUUACCAUUGCUUUAUUAUGUUCCAACUUCAUCCUCCUAUAUUGUUCUUGUGCUUGCUUUGAACGAAACAUGGCCUGAACUCGCACAACAGAUCUUUCAAUACGCUCUUCAGCUUGUUUCCUACUGGCUUGGAAGAAAUCCUCCUCCGCAUCAUCUGAUUUAACUACUUGACUAGACUGGAGUUUAAGCCCGCGGAGACCUUUCCUCUUCAAACGCCACCGAAAUAUUGCCUUUUCAAGCACUCCUACUGACCAAGUUAUCUUCCUGUACUGCCUUCGGACUUGGAAACCCCGGAACACAGCCUGCAUUAAACCAGAAGCAGGUUCCAAAUUAAGGCUGCUGUCUACAGUAGUAGACACACAUAAUAACAGAGUUGUUUUUCCAAGAAUUUUGAAAUCCAGGAGCAUCAAAAAUCAUAUUCACAACGAGGAACCUUUUCAGGUUAUCUGCUAGUAUUCCAUUAUUUUCAGGAAAACAAAGGUUAUAGUCCACGCUUCCAAUUGCAGAACAUGAUUGCCCGCCUCAGUUUGGUGGGCAAAGUUGAAACACACUAAUAAAUUUAACUGAUUAUUUGAAAUUAGUUUAAACUUCAUGUCCUUUGAUGCAUGAGAUGGAUCAUGUUAUCCAGUUAGUUUUAUGGGAAAGCCAAAGAAUAAAGGGGGACUUACUUGAAUUUUGAUGGCCUGACGGCGCAUGUGAAGAAACUCUCUCCUCAUCUUCCAAGUUCGAAACCUAUACUGUAUUCGUGCAGCAGCUGCCAGCUGUUUCUGCAUCUCAUAGUUGCGGAAAGCAUGCUGAAUCUUCAUAGCUGCAAUUAUAUUACGUGCUUCCAUUUCUGAAUUUGAAGACUCGACUGCCUCUGUCCGCACUUUCAGUGCACGCUCCCUGAAAGCAGCCUGGAUACGUGCAGCUGCAUCUGCAGCUGUACGAUAAGCUGCUAAACUGUCUUUCAGAUUUAGCUCUUCCUCUGUGAAGUUCCCGGGGUUUAUUGACUCAGUAGUCGUCUGGAGUGAACCACUGAUAUUUCCAGCUAAUGUCAUAUCAUUAAAUUGUGCAACUAAAGCCUUCUCAGCGAGAUAAGCCCCCAAACCCUCAUGACCAUUUUUAGAUGCAAGAUCGGAAGCAGUACAUCCACCAAGGUUUUCUGAAGUGGGAUCUGUGACCAAAUUUGGUUUUGCUCCAGCAGAUAAAAGAGUUGCAACCAUUUUUUCCCUGACAGUCCAAAUGCUCAAAACUAUUAACAACCUUACACUUGAAAUGACCAAACCAAUCGAAAAUAUAUGCUCCAUGUUAGUUCUACUUUCUUUAUCGCUGGUGCGAAGAAAUGAGGUGAAAAUGAGUCAGACAGGUUGGCGGACAGCAGUUCAACUUCAACACAACCAAGGGUGUAACGACUAUUUUAAACAGUUAACAUUUGCAAAAGAACCACAAAUAGAAAAGAAAGAAUUGAAUGAUAGAUAAUUGCAACAUUCCAGAGCUGUAACUAAGGAUACCUUCCAUAAUAUGCAGCCCAAUGGAGAGCUGUCCAUCCAUAUUUGUCUCGAUAAUCCAAUGACAAACCGGACCAGGAAAACAGAUAUACAGCCCAAGUGUAACCUAGGAUAGCACACAAAUGGAUAACUCCUUGACCUUGCUCGUCAUGUUCUGAGAUUUUACAUCCUUCGACAACUCUUUCCAACAGCCAUUCCUGUAAUCUGGUUUUCAAAGAGAGCUCAAACAAGCAGUCUUUUGCACGUGGGACAGAGACUUUCUUGUCUUCAAUUGAUUUGAUCAGACAGGCCCAAUCAUCAAUGAUGUGAGAACAUUUUCCAGCAAAUGUUUUUGCAUCUUUCAGCAAAUCUUGAUGUAUUUUACUGGAUAGAAUAUUAAGGCUCUUAGAUGUAGAGAACAGCAGAUGAGCAAGCCUCAUUUGAUUUCUAAAUUCAUCCCAAUCAGAUUUACUCUCCGGGGGUUCUGUCCAAACUUGUACUGAAGGAGCUCGAAACUCAAAGCUCAUGACUUGACUAAUAGGUUUAUUACCAUCGAAACUUAAAUAUAUGUUUACCAGUCCAGGGGUUUGAGGAGAAACUAUGCAACGAUAUACCCCAGGUUGCAGAACUUCUGCAGGAAAACAAGCAUCUCCACAAACACAAUGCAAGCAGGAACUUUCCAGAUGUGAUUGUUCUCCAUGAAAUUGCCCAAUGACAAUGAUCUGUAAUCAUAGAGACAAAAGGUAUAGUUGCUAGAUCAUAGCUCAAAAUACAUGUUUAUCUUGACCUUCUUGACCAUGGCAAAGAACUUGGGCAAACUAAAAGAAUAAUAUCUAAAAGUUUAAAGAGGUUAAAAAAAAAUCACUUUGAUAAUUGAACAUAUCACAUUCACAAAACAAGUCAAUGGCCACAGUAUGCUUACCUUUUUCUCCAUUUUUUCCUGAAAAAACUAACUAGUCCUAAUUCUCAACCUAAAAUGUUAUGUCAGGUCAGGUUUAAAGCACUUAUUUUCUUCUAAAGCAAAAUGAUAUUGAACACAUUUUUCUUGUUUCUUUAAAAAUGGAAAAAGUAACACAAACACAUGAAGAGUAAUUAAGCUUCCUUUUUUUCUGAUCACUUGUGUUUUAUAGAGUUUACUUAAAGCCAAUAUCAUGACAGACAACAUUUUUCUUCUUGCAAGGAGAACCAUUGUAUCAGCAUAGCAAGUGUGUGAAGAAAGGACCUUUGUUUCUUCAGUUGAAGAAGCCCACGCAGGCGAUAUUUCUGUUAUGUUGAAUGUCUGCUCCCUUGCAUAUGAUUGACCUGUUGACACUGAAGAUUCGAGAGUUGGAUCGUCUGUGGAUUCUGGAGAAUCAGUAAUAAAGUAGUUCAUCCACCUUCCAAAGCUAUCCUGAGUUUGAAGUCUAUCCUGGUUCAGACUAUCAAAGGAAUCACCUGUGCUUACUGUCAUUACUCCAGACUCAUUCUUCUCAAAACUUGGAGUCAUUUGACCAUCCACUGUCUGGAAGAUGAUCUCAUUUGAAUUGUUGACUGUAGAAAUUCUCUCAAGAGAAGAGGAGACACCCUACAAGUACCAAAUAUUAGUAGCCAACUAAAAGAAAGGGAAAAAAAGAAGAUAUUACCAAGCAUCUUUCAGUUCAAACGAAAGAAAGAUAAAACCAGGAGGAACAAUUGCUAAGGAUGGAUUUAAAGCAGGAGUAAAACUUUGAUCCUUAAAUGAUAACAUAGAUAGCAUACACAACAUGAUCAGAUCACAUAUACACAUGGUGUGUGAAUGCAUGAAAUUAAAUAACAAAUGAACACUGCAAGGAAUAGGUGGAAGAUAAUCUUAUUCAAGUGUGCAAAAUUGAAAUUAAGAACACCAUAACCUCAAAAAAAGUUGUGUUCAAGGGAGUAAGCAAAUUACAGUACAUCGUACAUGUGAGUUGCUAAAGUCUAGAAAGACAUUGUUUUACUACUCUUGAUUAGGUGUAUCUCAUUCCAAGUCACCACACUCCUACACCAAGAUGAUUACUCUAGCUUCUUAUAGUAUAUAGUUGAUUUUUUUAUUUUUUAUUUUUAUGACAAGGGAAACCCGCAGCCGCUACCCUUUGGGUGCGCACAAGGUAAAACCCCCGCUCCUAUGCAAUAGCUCGCAAACCACAUAGUAUAUAGUUGAUUUUAAACUUCAAUAAAACAGGAUUUCUAUUGGGUUUUUCCUUUUUGGUAAUAACAAUAAGAUGGAAGUAUUUCUCCUGCAUGUUGGUGCAAAGCAAGAUACUAAGAGCCUGUUUGGAUGGGCUUUUAAGCUGGUCAAACUGGCUUAAAAGCCAGUUUUUGACUUAUUAAAGUGUUUGACAAUUAUCAAAAGUGACUUAUUUUAAGUCAGAAAUGACUUAUUUUAAGCCAAAAGCUAAAAGCUAGGGGAGGGGAGCUUCUUCUUUUUUUUAACUUAAAAGCCCUUUUAUGUUGACCAAGUAUAUUACCUUUAUGCCCUUAAUUCUUUUAUACAUUUUCCCAAAUUGCCCAUAUUGAAUUAACCCUAACAUCUAUUAUUAUUAUUAUUAUUAUUAUUAUUAUUUUUAUUAUUGUUAUUAUUAUUAUUAUUGCUAUUAUUCUUAUUGUUAUUAUUAUAUUAUUAUUAUUCUUAUUAUUAUUAUAUUAUUAUUAUUAUUCUUAUUAUUAUUAUAUUAUUAUUAUUAUUCUUAUUAUUAUUAUAUUAUUAUUAUUAUUCUUAUUAUUAUUAUAUUAUUAUUAUUAUUCUUAUUAUUAUUAUAUUAUUAUUAUUAUUCUUAUUAUUAUUAUAUUAUUAUUAUUAUUCUUAUUAUUAUUAUAUUUUUUUUUAUUUUUUUUUUAUUAUUAUUAUUAUUAUUCCUCUUAUAAAUAAUUUGUGGUGGUAAAGAAAUAUGUGAAUGAUAGGAAAAUAUUAUUACUUAUGGAUGAAAAAUAUAAAUUUAUUUUUAAGUAUAAAAACCUUAAAUUAAUCAACUUUUUAUCAUGUUAACAGCUUAAAAGGGUAUUUCAGACAUUUUGAUUAAAAAAAGUGUUUACCAACACUUAUUUGCCAAACACAUCAACAACUCUUUUUUCAACUGCAGCACUUUUAUCCAAACACAUAACUACUUAUUUUUAAAAUAAGUUCCAGCACUUUAAAAAGUUACUUUUUAAAAGUUGCUUUUUUUAAGUCAAUCCAAACGGGCUCUAAGAAUUUCAAUCUAAGUAUCAAAAUCAACUUGUCAAUUUAUUUGAUCAUAAAUACAUACAAGUAGUUCUACAUAACUCUCUACUUCUGAUUUUAAGGUAUACACUAAGUUAUUUAAUCUCAGAUGAAGAGAGUUUAUUUUAGAAAAUGAAGUAGAACAUCUUUUGUAGAGCUUGCUCUCUGAUGAACCAUAUUUCCUUAAAAUGGCUCAAGGGGAAAGGUUCCUCCCUAAGAUACUUUUACAACCACCAAUGGAGAACUACAAUUUUUUCUAAAUCAAAGAACACUACUUGUCUUUUCAUUGAUAGCAUAAGAUAUGUGUAGAUAUAAAUAGAUCAUAACAGCAACAUAGAGAAGAUAAAAAUGAUGAGAGAAAAAUGUGAAUUGGAGGACAGUUACACCAGUGAAGCAAGCUGCAUAUAUCUACUCACAUUGAGGCUGUAACCAUUUAAUUCACAUAGAUUGUGUUGCUCAUACGACGUGUGCUGUACAUAAGCAGUUUUACUUCCUGCUGCAAAAUAAUGUAAAAACUUAAUAAAUAACUAUUUUUAUGAAUGUAAAUAAUAAAUAAUGUCUAUAAGGUACAUCAUAUCAUCAAGCAUAUACCUUGCUGGGUAGCAACUAUCUUGUUGGGAUCUCCAGGUGCCAACAGAUCAUCCCAUUCAAGUGUGUUAAUCUCGAGUAGUCUCUGUUCAUGAUUUUGGACGGUCAUAUCCCUGUUAGGUUCUGUCAAUCAGUAGAAGACAGGACUUUAAUCUAGCCAAUUUUGAAUGAGCAAAAAAGGUUUGAACAUAUUCUGAGAUUGCAAUUAGGUCCAAGCUCUAGUAGCAUAAACAGAAUAGGAGUACCAAAUUUUUGCACAUACGUGAAACAUCCUAUAAAAAAUUUAACUCAAUUUUCAUCAAGAGAAUCUUUUCUAUGCUUUUGUUUACAGCUAUGGCUUUGACUGAAGAUUAAUCACCCACUUUUAACAUCAAUAGGGGGCUCAGUUCAAGCUAUGGACACUUUCAUUAAUAUAAAAUGCAAAAAGAUAUCAUUUCUACAAAGUUAAUUUGAUAGUACCUAAAUGUGCAUGUCGGCUAGCGGAAUAUUGCUGAUCAACAGCUGAAUCAAGUUCUCCUGAUAAAACCCAAAAAGCAGACAGAUCAGCAGGAUCGGACAAUGCCAAACCAGAACUAACUGGGGCAGCUGGAGAACCCUGUGCAACUGUACUGUUGGAGGAAACCUGUGAUUGUACAGUGAACAUAGCCAAUAACUGUUUGUAUUAACACACUGUUGGAGGAAACCUGUGAUUGUACAGUGAACAUAGCCAAUAACUGUUUGUAUUAACACACUGUUGGAGGAAACCUGUGAUUGUACAGUGAACAUAGGAAACAAACCUCUUGAGUUUCACGAUAAUGGACAAGGACUACGUGUUCGAGAGUCCUGUGAAGCAGAGAAAUUGACAAAAUCAUACUUCCAUGGACACAUCCUUUUUUGUGUAACUCCUAUAGAAGCCAUUAAGUUUUAACCAAAGAAUAACAAGAAAGUGGGAAAUUUUUUUGGGGACCUAUGAACUAGAAUUAUUCAUACUUGUCAAGCAGCCAGUAGCAUCUUCGAACAAAGGUUGUGUUAUCUUCUCCAUGUGCAUAGUAUACGUGUAUUCGUUCAUCAUUACCAACCUGCACUAAUGAACAGAUUGAAAUUCAUCUUUCUGGAAGGAUUCCAAACUAUCCCUCAAUCAAGAAAACUUCAUAUAGCAUUUAGAGUGCACAUCCUGUUUAAGUGGAGAAGAGAACAGAAAAAAACAAGGCAGAAGUAGAAAUUUAAAAAACAAAAGUCCACCACCCUUUUCCAGCUGAGAAACUUAUUUCCUGAGCAUCAACAAAAGAUUCACAACUUUUAUGCACCAAAGUAGAAUGACAACAGAAGCAAUGACAGCAAAAAAAGUACUAAAAAUAAUAAUAGAAAAAACAAGAACAACCAGUCUUCCAAAGAUCAUUCGUCCAAAGAUUCUGUACAAAUGAAAAAUCCAGGAAAUGAAGUACCAAAUGCACAACAUCUCGUAUAAGUAUUGGGGUGCAGUGCAGGAAGUUUACUAGUUACAUACCCGAGCCUAUCACUUCGAGUCAAAUAUAACACGGAAGUGAUUUAGCAGGAGAUACAGUGGAAGUUCAAAAUAAGACUAUCUAUUUGGAGAACCCAGCGAAGACAAAAAACACUAGGUGAUAUAUUCCAUCUGUGUGAGUCUUGAUAGGCAGAGUAGGUGUUCGAAAUAAGACUAUCUAGACUUAUUUACAGAUAAAAACAAGCAAUGGAUGGCUUUUGAAAUGACUAUAUGAUAAGCAAAUAGAACUUCUAGGAACUCUCCUUUAGCCAAUAUAUGGCAGAUCUAUAUAUGCUAUCAGAAUUCAGUCAUUAUACGUCUAGCCUAGUCUAUACAAUCAUUUUAGAUGUUGAGGUGAAAAGAAAAUUUGUCUUUUAUGCUAUAUGCCUCCUAGAAUGUCCAACCUAAUCACAAAAUUCUAGUUGGUCCAUGCAUAGUUUCCAUAUAUUCCAUAAAGAAAGCAUCCUAUAUCGGUGCAUCUUGUCUAACCACAUUGAAUUAUGCACUAAAGAAGAUAAGAAUUGACAGACCACCAAAAAAAAUAAGCAUCUAUCCAUUAGAAAAACACAAAGCUAGUAAACAAACAAUCACACAAGAACACCAUAUUAAAGGCAGUUAAACCUCACUUUUAAGUGUUCAUGAGCUUCUUUGACAGUUUUCCCAUCUUUCUUUUUCUUCCAAUUAUGUCCAUCUCUCCGGAAAUUUCUGAGCUUCUUACGAUCAAACAACACAAUUGUGCCACCUACGCAUUGGAAAUCAAAGAAUAUUAGAUGAAAUCCAUGAUACCUUCUGUGUCCUAAAAACAUUUUUUCUUUUCCAUGAAGAAUUCAUGUUCGGUUUCCUUUAACAAUAUAUGGAUUUCCAGAAAACAAUCAAAUCAUUGCAAGAUCAAAACCAUAAGAAUCUCUUCAUGCUCAGAAUAAGGUUACUUUUAGGCAAGUUUACAGGCUUGACAUUGAUGUUGAAAUACUUGUGGUUGCAAAGUAUUGCAUGAAUCUCAUUUGGUCGGAGCCACCUCAUCUUUGAUUCCUCCAUUAUGUUGGGAAUAUCCAAAUCUGUGCAAGAACCAGAGAAUAACAACUGUAGUCAGCUAGGUAGAUCCAAAAUAUUAAAUCAAAGAAAAUUCGUAAUUACAAGCAACAAAGCAAAGAAAAUCGAGGCCAGUGCUGAUCUCAACAUAGCAUUUUUUGUUGCAGUACGUUAUAAGGUCACGUAUCCAUUAUAUGCAGUAGGGCUCUUCAUUGCUCCAAAUUGAUUGGAUCACUCGUUGAAUGUCGAGCUUUCCUCUCUUUUGCGGUAAUACCAAAAAACAACUAGUACCAAUUUAAUCCCAUUUUAUCUUCGAACUGAACAUAAUCUCUUCUUUUACCAUUAUCAAGGACGGACUUCGAUGGCAUCAAACAAAGAAGACCAAAUACCAAAGCAAAAUAUAACCGUCUAGCCCAUCCCUUUUCUAUCUGUGCUGCUAGACAGCUAGAGUUGAGAUACGUCACCGGUUACAAGGUUGUUUGAACUUUAUCUCAAAUACAGCAUCCUUAAUAAAGCACUCUCUUCCUAUCAACUUGUUCCUAGGAAUUAAUCUUAGCAUUAAGGCUACAUGUUCUUUUGUGGGAAGUCUUUUUUGUAUCUAAUCAGCAGUUACACUCUAAAUUCAAGUAACUCAAGCAGCAGUACCUAUUCAUCGACCUCGUUACCUUCCUAUCUAAGUUAAAAUAAGCAUUUUCUUCAAAAGGAUUAAAUUUGCAAUACAGAAAGAAAAGGAGAUAACAAAAUAGCAAUGUACAAAACAAGUGUAGCAAUAAAUAUCAAUACACAUUGAAGAAAAAAAACUAUGCCACACCUAAAUUAUACUAUUAGAAGAAGUACGUUCCUAUCUAAGUUAAAAUAAGCAUUUCCUUCAAAAGGAUUACAUUUGCAAUACAGAAAGAAAAAGAUAUAACAAAAUAGCAAUGUACAAAACAAGUGUAGCAACAGAUAUUAAUACACAUUGGAGAAAAAAAGAGUACCUAAAUCAUACUACUAGAAGUACAAAAAAUUACUACCUACAAACAUUCUAUCCUAAUCAUCAACCUCGUAGUGUACCAAACAAGUUUACCAAUAGAUAUCAAUACACAUGGGAGUAAAAGAAACUACGCGAUACCUAAACCAUACUGCUAGAAGUGCAACAACAUCAACUACCUACAAACAUUCUGUCCUAAUCAUCAACCUUGCAAUGUACAAAACAAGUGUAGCAACAAAUAUCAAUAUACAUUGAAGAAAAAAAAAAAACUACGCAAUACCUUAACCAUGCUACUAGAAGUGCUACAACAUUCAACUACCUACAAUCAUUCUAUCCUAAUCCUCAACCUCAAUAACUUCCUAUCUAAGUUAUAAGCAUUUUUUCUCAAAAAGGAUUUAGAUUUGCAAUAAACAGCUACAGAGAUAAGAUAGUACCUUGCAUAGUGCGGAACCCAUGAAUUUCCCAACCUAACAGUCUUCCUGAUACGCUACUUUCCAUUGCAAAAACAGAACUCAUAAUCCAAGCAAAACUGCGUAAUUGAUCAAUCAAAAUCAAUCCACCAAACUAUGUAUAAAUUGAAAAGCGGAUUGUGAGCGUUACGAAACUUGCUCAAUGAACGAACAAUCAACGUCUAAUUAUAUAUUGAUUGAGCUGAAGAUCUUCCAUUAAUGUGCACAUCAAUGGCGUUUUUUUGCCGGUCAAAUUUGUAAGCCAAUAGAAAUAAGCAUACGUUACUUUUUCAUUGGUCGAUCGAGUCGGGUCGGGUCGGUCUAUUGACUCUUGUGUGGGUUGGAUCGGGUCAAUUGGAAUUCUAACCCAUGUUUUUGGUGAUGGCUGCUGUGGAUUUAGCGUAUGCGUGUUGGUUUAGGUAUCUAUAUUUUCUUUUUAUAGAUAUAAUAAUACAUGAAUAUGUCCUUUAAUUUGGUUUCAACUAGUAUUCAUGUUAUUUGAUUUUGAGUAUGCAUAAGUAGACACUUGAUAUGAAAUUGAACAAGUACACAUGCAUGCGUUAUACGUGGCAUUAUACAAAUCAGUUGACACGUAAGAUGAGUGCAUGUCACACAAAUUUUCAUUGAGAACAAGUGUGUCUACUUGUUCAUCUGCACGUGCAAAACGGAAGGACAUAAAUAUAAGUUGAGGCUAGAUCUAUCGAUAUGGCUUAAGCCUGGCCCAACUCAUGAUUCGGGACGGGACCUCGAGUAUAUCCCCGCUAUCCUGGACCGACAACUUCUUGGCUCCGGCCAAAACUCAGCUCUGUCGUCCUGUUCCUGGCCCAGCCCCUCCAAUCUUGGCUCACCGAUUUCGAUCCUAUCCCACUUACUAGUCUUAAUCUCGUAUUCUAUUAUUAUUAUUAUUAUUUUUGUGCCUUAUCAUUUAAAUUAUAGAUGUGUGAUAAUAUAUAACGAUGGAAAACGAUGGUGUAUGUUAUGUACAUGAACAUUUAUUACUUAAUAUACUAUUUUCUCACAUUUAAAAUUACUUAAUCAUUCUAACUUUAUUAUGAUUUGAUGUGAUGUAGAAUACAAAUUAUUUUUUGUUCGUUUGUGAAUUACGCAUAGUUAAAUGGGAUAAAGAUAAAGUAAACACUUGCCAAGUGGCGUCACUUGGACCACUUGUGAUAUACUCUCCCAUGUCCCUAAUUACUUGUCUACUUUUGAAUUAAUACAUCUAUUAAGAAAAUAAUUAAUGACAUAGUGAGUUUACCAUUUUACCCCUAUUAAUUAUGAAGUGGAUGAAAAGUUUUACAUUUUUCAAAAUAAUUAGUCAUUUAAUUGAGAGUAUAAUAGGUAAAAAGAAUUUGUCCUUUUUUGAUUUGUCAAAAUGGACAAAUAAUUAGAGACAACUAUAAAAGGAAAAGUGGACAAGUAAUUAGGGACAGAGGGAGUAUUAGACCAUUCUGUUUCCUAAUUACUCUAUUAACAUGGUGUGUUUGUUCAUAAUCUCUGCCUAAUUAAAUUCAUGAAAUUCAUAAUCUCACAUUUUCAUCCAUCAUUAUCUAAUUAAUAGUAGUAGUUAAUAAGAAUUAAAUUCUGUUUUUGUUUUCAUUUCUAUCCCACAUGAAUGCUAGAAUGUAUCGCUAUUAUACAUUGAUUGACAUGAUCUUAUAUUUACAUGCGAAGUUAGAAAUUUCGUUUGAUAUUUAAAAAUUAUUAAUAUAAUGUGUAUUUAUAUAGCUCGAUCACUAUUCGUAUUAUGAAUGUAUGAUAAUAAUAACUGAAAUAUAACUAUAACCUCUACAAUAAUCCCAAUUCACAUCCCUAAUUAUAUAGUAGUAUAACUUAAUUAUGAUGUGUGUAUAUAUAUACCUCAUUUGAUUACUUUAUCGUAAUAAAUUGCUUCGUUCGAAAAAAAUCCUUUUUUUAUUGUAAAACAAGUUAUCAAUACACGCUAUUUAAGGACAUAAAAUUAACAAUAUUAAAAAGAUGUGUAUCUUUUAUAUAUAUUUUAUUGCUUACUUAAUAUAUUCUCACUUAACCAGAGGGGUUGCUUAGAUAUUAGUCAUUCAUCAUUUUCAAUUCAAAGAUGGUAAGUUUAAGUCCAAAAAAGAAAACCAAAAAAAAAAACCUUUAAAGAAGGGAUACAAUAUAUUCUCAUUUUGAUAUGAUUUAAUAUAUAUAAUAUUAAAAAGAAAUUUCUUAAACAUUAGUUUUAGGUAAAUAAAAAAAACUAACAUUUCUGUUAGAAAUGAAUAGAUUACCAAAAAAAAAGAUAUAUUGUGAGAUAGAAGAGAAUCUUCUAUUUUUCUUAACAUAAGUUUUGAAUUUAAAUUACUAAUUUUCCUUUUUAGUAAAAUAUUUUUUGCUUGAUGAGUUUUGCAUGUCAUUCUAAUCUGAAUUAAUUGUAUCAAUAAAAUAGAAGAGAUUCUCUAUAUUUAAUUAUAAGUUUUGAAUUUGAAUUAUUAAUUUUCCUUUUUAGUAAAAUAUUUUUCACUUGAUGAGUUUUCAUGCCGUUUCAAUCUAAAUUAAUCAAAUCAAUCAGAUAAAGGAGAAUAUUCUAUAUAUAAUUAUAAGUUUUGAAUUUUAAUUAUUAAUUACUCUUUUUAGUAAAAUGUUUUUAGUUGAUGAAUUUUUAUGUGUCCCAAUCUAAAUUGAUUGGAUCAAUGAAAAAAAGAAUAAUCUUUCCAUUCUUAAUUAUAAGUUUUAAAAUUGAAAUUAUUAUUUUACUUUUUUUGUCUCAAUUUAUGUGUCUUCUUUUUUAAAUCUAUCCUAAAAAUACUAUAUUUCUAUAUUUAGUAAUAAUUUAACUUUAAAAAUAUCAAUUUCACUGCAAAUAAAAUGAUUCUUAUCUGACACAUUUUAAACAAUAAAUUUUUAAAAUAUUUCUUUUAUAUGAAGUGAAUUGAAAUGAAUAGAGUAAUUUUCUUUUUUUAUUGGGAUAAGUAAUAAGCAUUUCUAGAUUACGAUCAAAAUUUCAAAAAUACACCUUAACUAAAUUAAAAUCAUAUUAUCCAUGAACUAAUUUUUUUUAUAAUUUUGUACAUCUUUUUUACUUACGUGACAUUUGAGUAUCUCUCACAUGCCUCAACUACAUGAAUCACAUAUAAACCAAAAUGUACAUAAAUUUACAAAAUAAAUAAAUUCAGAGUAUUAGAAUCAUAAUUUAGUUAAGAUAUAUCUAUGAGAUAUGAUAUCGCAAUUAUAUUUUAUUUAAGAUAAAAGGAUAAGGGGGACAAACCUUCUAUAAUUAGAAGAAAUACUCUUAUAUAAAUAGUUUUAUUUUCCCUGGAUUUGUGUAGAGACUCUGUUUUUUUUAGAGAGAGAAAGUGGGAGUUUUUAGAGAGAGAAAUGGCUCCGGAGAGAGAUAUUGAUGAUCAUCCCAGGAACAAGGCGAAUUACACGGCGUUAACUCCGUUAUGGUUUUUAGAGAGGGCGGCGACUGUAUUUCCAAAUCGGAAAUCGUUAAUUCACGGCUCCGUUGAGUACACGUGGCACCAGACUUACCGGCGUUGCCGUCAAUUAGCCUCUGCUUUAACCAAAAACUCCGUCACCUUUGGAAGCACGGUAAAUUUUCAGUUACUUUUUCUAAUUUUUACGUUUCAUUGAGUGUUUAUACCGAAUCAAUAUAUGCAUGUACGUUCAUGUAUUUAUUUGUACAUACACUUUUUAUUCACAUAAUCAUUACUCCUAUCUCAUAAUCAUGAUUAAUUAGUUUGGUUUGGUAUAAACACGUCGUGCCUAAUUUGAUGAUCAUCAAUAAUUACUUAUCUAAAAUAUGAAAAAACAUUAAUCUUUUUUUAUACUAAAUCAAUUUAUUGUAUUUUUUGUUAAUUUUUUUUUGUUGUGUGUGUGUUUUGGUCUUAUUAUAGUUUCGAUUAGCGCACCAACAAGGUAUGUGAUAGAAUGAUAAGUUUGGUCGGUUCUCAGAGUCGAGUCUUUAGGUAUGAAGUCCUUUUGUUAGAGUCACUUUACGUUCAAUGUGCGUGAAUCUGAAUUUAAUCGAACUUAAUAUAAAUAUCGAACAUUGAAUAUCGAGCAUGAAACCAAAAAAAUAAAUAGUUCCAUAUGACGUUAACAGAAUAAACAAGAAAUUAAAAUUUUACAUUUUAGAAUUUUGGAUCUAGAGGAUAUUAUUAUUUAUUUAUUUAUUUAUGUGUACACCGCCUUUUAUUAUUUGCUCUGUCGUCUAUUGCAGUUUGUCUCAAUAUAUUAAAUGAACAAAAAAAAAUGCAGAAACUUCCAAUUAGUUUGUUAUGGACAUCAAUAUUUCUUGUUCAUUUAAUGGAAUGUAUUGUUGUUGUAUUCCCAUGGAUGAUCUAGUAAGUUCUUUUGUUGUACUUGAUACGAGGGCUCUCGGAAAUAACAUUUCUAUGUUCACGAGGUAGAGGCAACAUCUACGUACAUUCUAUUACCAUAUUCCACUAAUUAUUUGCAUCCAAAAAAUUAGAAUAAUAAAUCUAAAAAUAAAUACAUAUAGGCCUCUAAUUAAAAUUUAACUUUAGGCGUCUUUGAGCCUCCCCUGUAUAUGUUGUUGCUCUACUAACUUGCUUCGUUGACAGGUUGCAGUUAUUGCCCCAAAUGUCCCGGCUAUGUAUGAAGCUCAUUUCGGAAUUCCAAUGUCUGGAGCUGUUAUAAAUGCUGUGAAUGUUCGUCUAAAUGCGCAAACAAUUGCUUUUCUAUUGGGACAUUGUGCGGCUUCUAUUGUCAUGGUGGAUCAAGAGUAUUUUCCGUUGGCUGAGGAAGCGUUGAAAGUAUGGGAAAAUAACAGUAAAGGAAACUUUAAUGCUCCGCUUUUGAUUGUAAUUGCUGAUAAAAACUGUGAUCCAAUGCCGGUUCAGUAUGCUCUUGAGAAAGGGGCAAUUGAAUAUGAGAAAUUUGUAGAAACUGGUGAUCCAGACUUUACGUGGAAGGCACCAGAGGAUGAAUGGCAAACCAUUGCUUUGGGAUAUACUUCAGGCACAACAGCUAGUCCUAAAGGAGUGGUGUUGCACCAUCGUGGCGCUUAUAUUAUGGCUAUGAGUAAUGCGGUGGUUUGGAGUAUGCCAGAGGGAGCUGUGUAUCUGUGGACUCUACCAUUGUUUCAUUGUAAUGGUUGGUGUUUCGUUUGGACACUUGCUACGAUUUGUGGGACUAACAUAUGUCUUAGACAGGUAAUUCCUUGUUUCUUUUUCUGCCCGAUUGUAAUUGGAGUAACAUAAACGAAUGCAAGUGUAAUUGUUUUAUCUUUCACCAUAUCGCGUAACUCUGACAUUUAGAGAAAAUGUAAACCAUGUAGAAUAGACAGGGUAUUAUUAUGAAAUCCGACUUUGAUUGUAUUGUUUUUCAUUUUGCUUAAAUGUUUGAAGUUUUAAUUUCGAUUAUCUUGCAUGUAGGUAACCGCUAAGGCUGUUUAUUCAGCCAUAGCGCAUCUUGGUGUGACUCAUUUUUCUGCUGCACCGGUGGUACUCAACACCAUAGUUAACGCCCCAAAAGAGGAGACUAUCCUUCCUCUGCCUCGUCUUGUGCACGUAAGCACAGCUGGUGCUUCUCCUCCUCCAUCUGUACUUGCUGCAAUGUCACAACGUGGUUUCCGUGUCUUACACACUUAUGGCCUUUCUGAAACCUAUGGUCCAUCCACUCUAUGCACAUGGAAGCCCGAGUGGGAUUUACUUCCUCUAGACAUCCAAGCACGUCUACAAGCACGCCAAGGUGUCAGAUACGUUGGUCUGGAGCAUUUAGACGUUGUCAGUACAAACGACAUGAAAUCUGUUCCAGCAGAUGGAAAAACAAUAGGGGAGAUUGUCUUCAGAGGUAAUAUUGUGAUGAAAGGUUACCUUAAGAAUCCGAAAGCUAACGAGGAAGCUUUUGCUGGAGGGUGGUAUCAUUCGGGUGAUCUUGCAGUUAAACAUCCCGACGGAUACAUAGAAAUCAAAGACAGAUCAAAGGACAUCAUCAUUUCUGGAGGUGAAAACAUAAGUAGUGUAGAAGUUGAGAAUAUCCUCUACUUACAUCCUGCAAUACUCGAGGUCUCUGUAGUUGCAAGGCCCGAUGAGCAAUGGGGUGAGUCACCAUGUGCAUUCGUGACGUUGAAGCCUGAUUUGAAGGAGACAGAUCAACGAAAGUUGGCUGACGAUAUCAUCAACUUCAGUCGAUCGAAAAUGCCUAAGUUUUGGGUUCCAAAAUCAGUUGUGUUUGGACCAUUGCCAAAGACUGCUACUGGGAAAAUACAAAAGCAUGUGUUGAGGGCAAAGGCAAAGGAAAUGGGACCAAUGAAGAAGAGUAGAUUAUAAUUAUAAUCUAAGUUGCGCGGACUCUUUCACUUUCGAUGCCGCACCGUGUUGGAUCUUCCAAGAAUACACUACUUUAGCGAAUCCGACACGCACCCCUUGACAUAUUUGAAGAGUCCAAAGCAACAUAGAUUAUAAUGGUCCAUAAAUAAUGUUGAAGUAUAUGUGUUUUCUCAUUGUUAGUACAAUUAUAUACUUCACUUAAUCAAGAAAAUAAUACAAUUCAACAUGUCUUUAUGUAUCUUUGAUCAUUGUUGUACAUAAAUAAGACUGUAGAAUUAUCUGUUCUUGAAUCGUUAAAUCGAUCGUUCUUGUCUUGUAUGACCUAUAAAUCCUUAGAAUUAGUAUACGACUUAGUUAAAGAUAGGACACACGAAAGGAAAAAAUUGAUAUCUACUAGUCGGAUAAUGACAUGAGUUGUACUUAAAGAAAGGAAUGAUGAUUCAUAUAGUCGAUUCCGACUUAUCUAAUGAUUCAUAUAGUCGAUUCCGACUUGUCUGAAAUUGAGGUUUUCUUAUUGUUGUUUGUUGUAUUAGUUGAAAUGUUCAUGAAUUUCUUAUGUAGAUAAAAAAACUUUAUUAUGUCUAACUUUGUUACUAUCAUCGAAACAUGAAUCAUUAGAGAUUCAACUGCCUUAACAAAUAAUGUAAUUACUAUUAAAAAAAGGGGAACUUUCGCCCACUAUAAUAAACUUAAUUAUGUUCCAUAGCUAUAAUUUGCAUAUUUCCGGGUUGUAGUUACAGUUUAAGUUGCCUCGUUUGUAUAAUUCGCAGAUUUGUAUAUUUCAAAGGUUUGUAUAAUUCGCGGGUAUAUUCGUAUAAUUGCGGGUACAUUUGUAUAAUUCAGUUAUUUUUGUAUAAAUUUGAAAUAAUGAAUUUAUACAAUUACAAACAUCAUAAGUGUAAACAAUUAUACAAAUUAUAUUAUACAAAUUCUGAAUUAAAAAAAAGUUAUACAAAUUCUGAAUAAUACAAACGUGCGAAUUAUACAAAACUAAAAGGUUGAGCCGCGUAAUUAUAGCUAAAAGUAGGUCGUGAAUUUUAAUUAAGUCAAACGAUAGCUAUGUUAACUAAUUAACUAGUAUAUGUUUGUUUGGAAUCACAAAAAUUCAAAAUAACUACAAUUUAUACCGAUAUCCAAACACAAUUCCAAUUUUCAAAUACCAUUUUCACAAUUAUUAUAUUUAAAGAUCACUAAGUAAAAAUAAACGGUGAAUCUUCAUAUUUUGUAUUAUAAGUGGCUAGUCGUCUAAAUAAAAAGUUGAAUUAUCAAGUUGAUUGAACAACCUUCAAGCAAAUACUACUCCAAUAACAUUUUUUUGUAUGAAAAUUAAAGGGAUAAGUGUCUGAAAAAUACCUUAACUUUGGUCGGAUUUGCUGUUGCAAUACUAAACUUUCAUAAGGACCUAUUACCUCCCUAGACUAUUUAAUACCGUAUUUUUUACCCCCUGAACUAUUUAAUAGUGUAUUUUAAAGGUAUAUAUGUGCCCACGUGGACACAUUAUUAUUUAUAAUUUUGUAUUAUUUUUUAUGGCCACGUGGGCAAAUAUAUAUGUUUAAAAUACGAUAUUAAAUAGUCUAGGGAGGUAAUAGGUCCUCAUGAAAGUUUAGUAUCGCAACAGCAAAUCCGAUCAAAGUUGAAGUAUUUUUCAGACCCUUAUCCCAAAAUUAAAUUACAUAACCUAAUAAUGACUCAAAUAUCCUAAUGAUGUUUUCAACUUUUAUUUGUUCAAUUGUUGGACUUUGACCAGGGCGGAUUUAAGGACCCAAUCACCCAAUAGUGUUCAGUGUUCACCAUAAUCCCUUUAAACAAAAAAUAUAUUAUGUAUAAGGUUUUUUUUUUAUAUAUAUAAUUUUUAUAUAUAUUAUAGAUUCUGAAUUUCAUAAACACAAAUUAAAAGUAAUGAUCUAGUUAGGAUAAUCCUAUUGCUAUGUAUCCUCAUGUGGAUUUCUAACAAAUGAAGUUGAGGCAAUUAGGAUAAAGCUUAUCUGGAAAUUAUGUGGUUAAUGAAUUAGAUACUUGUACUAAUUCAACCCACUCAACCCCUUAAUUAGAGACACAAUUUUCAUAUCAAAUUUUGUCUCACAUACCACAUUCCUCUCUUAUCCACAGAAGUAGGAAUAAGAUUUGUGUAUGUGUCGUUUUUUUUAGAUUUUACUUGAGACUAUAUUGAUUAUGUUAUUUUUGUAUGCAUAUAUACCACACUCAUACCUCCAUUUUCUUUUUCUUGAUGAAAUCGGUAUUCAAAUUUCAAUCGUAUUUGAGUUGAUUUCUCCUUGCAUAUUAAUAGUAUUCACGCUAUUUUCAUAAUUUCUAAUGGUAUGUUAUUGUUGUAUUGAGUUGGUUUGCUAUCAGAGGCAUAUUCAAGACUUGAAAAAUAUGGUUUUCGAUUUCCAAUCCUCAUAAUUUAUUUAUUUCUAAAUUUUAUGAUUUGAACAUAUUUGAUGAGAUUUUCAAGUAUAUAUCUGACUCAAAACUAUUGGGUUUUGCAGAUCCAAUACCAUAAAUGAUACAAUAUUUGUCCUUAUUCAUUAUAAAAAUUCAAAUAUUUUCUAUCGAACUUUUAAUAUCUUUUGAAACUUAAAUAUAUUAUUAAAAAUGAAGAAAUUCUGACCAUUCAUCACAACCUCGAUAGUCCUACCACCAAAUUUGGUCUCUCUUUUCUUUACACUAGGCAAAAAAUGGAACCAAAAAGUGAGUUGUUUUUCCUUCUCAUACAUAAAGACUAACACACAACAUUGCUCCUCAUUGUCUAUUUGUCCCUUAGCAAUUUUGGGGCCUUAUCAUCUUUGGAUUCUCAUUCAUGAGUGCCACACCUUUUAAAUUCUUACAAUUUAUCAAAUCAAUAAUGUGUGUUUAUAAACGUUUCUGUCCCAAACAAGUUGAGAUAAAUUCAUACCAAUAAUAAAUAUGGUUAAAACUUUGCAUCAAGUUCAUUACAAAAUCACUUAGAAUAUGUAUUGCAUGUAUAUAUUAAGGAAUAACUUUUUUACUUAAGAAAAAUAUAGAUAAAAUUUACGUAUAUUUCAUCCUUCUCAAAUCUUACAUAUAAAAAUAUACUGAAUAUAAUAUGUUGUUGCCUAUAAGAUUAUGACAAAUGGGGAAGUCUAACAAAUCAUAAAAAGUUACAUAUGAAAAUAUAUUGAAUAGUUUAUUUUGUUCUUUUCUAAUCUGUUUAUUUCAAGUACCACAUAGUUGACAUUUUUUGUAGACACCUUUCCUUUUUUUUUCUUUUUUUUUUUCCUUUUACUUUUAAGUAGAUACCUUUCAUUUUUUUUCACUUUUCCUUUUUUUUUUUUUUAACUUUGAAUAAAUACCACAAAGUUAUAAAUUUGUAUUUAUGUUUACAUUUAAUGAUGUUUUAUUUAUCUAAUAAUGCAAUAUUUGAAACAUAAAGUGUGCGUGUUAAUUUAUUUAAAUAUAAAUAAGUCUUUUAAUUUGAUUUAAGUUAAUAUUUAUGACUAAAUUUUAAAGCACGACUAUGUGCUAUUAUAACUUAUUAAAAUGAUCAUUGGGAUAAGGCAUAAGUAUCCUCUAGUCUAGAAUAUGGUCGAAACUUCAGAGACAUACUUUAACUAAACUAACGUCCUAUUAUUUUGAAUUCAUUUUUUUUUGUAAUUUUCUACACCUUUUUGGCUUACCACGUAGUUGAAGCGUGUGAGAGAUGUUCGGAUGUCACGUAAACUAAAAAGUGUAAAAAUUACAAAAAAAAAAGUUCAGAGGUAAUCGAACCUUAGUUUAUUUAAGAUGUGUUAUUGAGAUUUCGAUCAUAGUCUAGGGGGAUGUUUGUGACUUAUCCCAAUGGUCAUCCUAAGUUGUGAAAAUACUACAAUAAAAUUACGCUAAAUCUUAUUUGCUAUUCGUCACGUCAAUCAUCCGAAGAACAAAACUAUUUUUAUGGGGUUGCUAUUCUUCACUCACACGAUAUUAUUGUAUUGAACUUUUGUCCAUUAAUCGUCAUAAUUCCUCAUUACUAUUUUCCAUAUUUUGUUUCGUCUUAUUUCUAACUCGUAAAAAAAUGUUUAAAAAGGUGUCAAAUAAAUUAAAUAAUAUUACUUUAUAUUAAUUUGGAGGACACCAAACCUUACAAAAAGGUCCAUUAAGAGUUGGCUAGAAUAUUCUUAAUUUAAGGUGCUUGUAAUAGCACUAGUACUAAUAGACAAACAUAACAAAUUAGGUGUGUUGACUACAUGUUUGCAUAAAUUUUGGAAACUAACUACACUUUUUAAUUUGGCUUUAUUUGUACCUACCCACCACCUUUUUUUUUUCCGAUUUGAAUGUGAGAUCUUUCUAAUUAAUAGUAAAGAGCUAGAGCUUCGUAUUAUUCCGCCUUAUUCUUCGAUGGUACUAUAUAUAUACAAUAAAUACAACUCCCUCCCCCUUUCACUUUUCUUAUAUUUGAGUUAAUAGAUUUAAAAGUGAGUUUCAAUCGUCCAUAUGAACAUUCAAUAUUCGAUUUGAAAAUGGGUAAUAUGUUCCUGCUCAAUAUGGUAAGUCGAUUUUCGGUGAUUUAUAUCCAUCCCUAACCAAAGAUUGUCGUAUAGUAAUAAGUAUUCUUAACCACACGUCUCAAAUACAAAUAACUUGAAUAUAAAUUCUCAAAGUUCAUACAAAUUAAAUUUAUUAGACUCCAAAACAAAUACUGAACCCGUACGAAAAUCCUCGUUUGGAGUUGAGCGGCAAAUACAAACUGAAUUUGCCUCAAAUUGCCAAAAAGUAAAAUAAAACCAAAUUUUUAAUGGCGCCGUUUACAAUUAAAACCUUUUUUUUUGGCGGGUAAGAGUAUUAAAUCAAAAUUUUCAUAAAAGGGUAUUUUAGUCUUUUCAUCUCCCGAUCUCCUAGGGUUUUUCCGUACUCAGUUUCCUUAUAAACCCCUCAAAUUUUAUAUUUUUUCGGCUACGACUCUUUUAUUUUUUGUCCGUUCAUCAUUAUCUUCUCUAUCAUUCUCGCAGCCUCUGUUUUUUUUUCUUCUUGUCGGUUAAUCUAUAUCCUCUUAGUUCCAGUUUUUAUUAAGCUGAACUUCAGUUUAUUGAGUUUUUUGUUCAUUUUGAGUAUUGAAGUUGAGCUUGUUAGUUGAGGUGGAGGAAUUUUUUUUGAUUUUUUUCUGCUAAUUUGGGGAUAAAAAGUGUUUAUUCAGCUGGUUUUUGCUGUUUUGUCAUCUGGGUCGUGCUUAAGUUUUGGUGAAAAUACUUGUUUGUAAGUUGUGAUCGUUGAGCAGUGGUUGAUCAAGGUGUUUUUUUCUUCAUUUUCUUUGAGCUAUAGCUGAGGUAGAAGUUUCUCUGGGUUUUUUUUCUGUUAAUUUGGGGAUAAACGUUCUUUAUUCAGCUGUUUUUCUCCAUUUUAUCAUCUGGGUUGUGCUUAGUUUCUGGUAAAAAACACUUGGUUGUGAGUUGUGAUCGUUGAACAGUGGUUAAUCAAGGUGUUGUUUUCUUCGAUUUUCGUUUAGUUUCUACUUAUUAGCAGAAGUAGAAGAAGUUUCUUCAAUUUUUUUCUGCUAAUUUGGGGAUAAACGUUCUUUAUUCAGCUGUUUUUUUUCCAUUUUAUCAUUUGGGUCUAGUAAAUUUGAGCUGUGAUUGUUGAGAAGUGGUUAAUCCAAUGGUGGAUACAAGUGAUAAAGUGAGUUAUUAUGCGAUAUCCUUUUGUCAUUUGAUCAUUUUUUUCACCAUUUAUUUGUUGAUUAGUGUUUGAUAUGAAUUUGUUAUCUAUGGUAUUUUUAGGUUCAAGAAACUGGAGAGAUGAUUGGGCAAAAUCAAACCCCAGAAAGGGUCUCAUCAGAGACCAAUCAAAAAACUUGUGUUGAUUGUGGAACCACAAAAACUCCUCUGUGGAGAGGUGGACCUGCUGGACCUAAGGUCAGUAAUUUGGUCUUAAUUUUACUUGAUCGAUUUUUGGUUAUGUAGUUUGUUUUGUUUCAUCUUAUAUGAUAGUGUUUGAUUGAGCUUGAAAUGAUAUUUUGACUUGUAUAAUUGUUAUAUGAAUAGUUAAACAACGAUUAUUGUCGAAAAUUAGUUGAAUUGUAUUCUUGAAAGUUGUAUAUGUAGAAGGAUUACUUAUUGUGGAAUUGUGUUUUAGAUAAUUGUGACAUGUCCAAUCAAAGGAAGUUUCAUAAAUAGAAAUUUGUGCUUGUCGUUUUGGGUAUGUUGCUUGGACUCUCCAAGAUGUUGCCUCACCGAUACCAAAAAAUGCACUACUUUUGGAUGAUCAAACAUGCCCUUAGUGUCUUUUUUGAAGAGUUUAAACAAUAUGAUUUGGUCUUAGUGGCUUAACUAAGAUUUAAAAUAUACAUAAUUGAACCUACAAAGAAGCCAUGGUGGUUCAAUAUCUUUUAUAUACAGUGUAAUUUUUUGAUGAAGGUGGUUUGGAUAUAGUACCUAGCGUCGCUCCUUUAGGUCUAUAAUCCCAAAUUGGCUUGUAAAAGUGUUUAGGUUUGAGAUUGUGAUUGUACCAAAAUGAUCUUUUACUUUGUGAGUUACGGCUUAUGACACAUUUUAUUAUAGGGUGUCUAUGAUUUUACUCAAAAAAUAUUGAAUCUAAUGAUUUAAUCAUGAUGGUGAAUGCAGUCAUUGUGUAAUGCAUGUGGAAUAAGGAGCAGGAAGAAGAGAAGAGCUCUUCUGGGAUUGAACAAAGACGACAAGAAAUCAAAGAAAUCUUUGAGUAAGAGCGUUGUUAAUCAUCAUCCUCAGAACCAGAGUAGCAAUAGCAGUAGCAGUACAAGCAGCAGCGGAGAAAGUACGAAUAAUGUAAUAGUGAAGAACGAAUGCAUUCCAUAUAAGAAGCGAUUACUGCAUUUUGAUCGAGAAGUCGGUUUGCAAAGACCAAGAUCAAACUCUACACACAGAAGAAAGUUAGGUGAAGAAGAACAAGCAGCAUUCUUGUUGAUGGCUCUUUCAUGUGGUUCUGUUUAUGCUUAGUAGAGGAAGAGAAUGUUGUACUUAUUGUUGUGUUUGUAGUACCUUUUUUGGGUCGGUAGAGUAAGAGGGGAUAGGUGCAAGAGUAGAAUCUAGAAUGAUAAGAAAAAGAGCUAAAUCAAUUUGAGAGCUCAUAAGAAUGUAGACUUGAGGAUUGUGUUGUAGUUUAAACUCAAUUAAUUUUUUUUUAAUCUAAGUUGAGUUCAUUGACUUCGUGUGAUUUAUAAGUAACGUGUUUGAGUUGUAGAAGCAGUUACUAAUGUUUGUAUUAGAUAGUUGGUUUAUGUCACAAUUUUUUCAACUUUCUGUGUCAAAUGCUUUAUGUAGUGAACUGUCUUUGUUAGAGUUAAUCGUGUAUGCAACUCAUUUGAUCAAGACAUAAUAUAUAAAUGUGUUAUUUAACUUGAUCUUAUUUCACAGUUUUACCCUUUAACUUUGGGUAUGUAUAAGUAGACACUUAAAUUUGUGUAAAGUUAAGCAAAUAGACACAUGAGUCUUAUGUGACACAAUACAUGUAGGACAAAAAAUGACAUGUAGGACAUAUGUGUUUAUUUGUUCAAUUUUAUAUAACUUUAAGUGUCUAAUUGUGUACAUUCAAAGUUGAAGAACAUAAAUGUGAUUUGAAGCUAAGUUAAAUGUCAUAUUUAUUUAUAUCAAUGUGUUGGGACAAGAGAAAGAAAAAUAAACUAAAAAUGCUUGUACUUAGUGGAGUUGUGGUAGUACAUUUUUUGUUUGGUAGAGUGACAAGACAGGUGUUGAAUAAAAUGAUUAAUCUAAGUUUUAUUACCUACCUCAAGUACCACUUUUGCUUUCUUUCUAUUAAAACACAUUUUGAUUUUGAGGUUGUUAAAUACUUCCUUCGUUUUAUAAAGAAUGAUCUGGUUUGACUUGACACAGAGUUUAAGUAAAUAAAGAAGACUUUUAAAUUUUGUGGUCCUAAAUUAAAGUUAUGUCAAAUGUACAAAAUUGCUCUUAAUCUUGUGAUUUUAAAUAUGCCACGUGGAAAGCAAAAAGUAAAAUGUUACCAAAAAAAAUAUAUGUUAUUCUUUUUGAAACUGACUAAAAAGGAAAAGAGGUCAUUCUUUGUGAAAUAGAGAGAGUAUUUGUUUAUAAACGAUUCAACAUCGAUCUGUGUUUGAAUAUAAGAGAGUGACAAUUAAGAUAUGAAACUCAUGAAAAUGUGAUAAUUCAGAUAUACAACUCAUGAAAUAAAAAAUAAAUUUUAGAUAUUUUUACUCUUUAUUAUUAUUAUUAUUAUUAUAUUAUCAACAGACCAAUACAUGUGAAUCAUAUAGUAAAAUUUGUCUCAUUUUUGUUGGAUGUAUUCAUCACGUGGUUAAGCAAGCAACAGUAGAAGCAUCUUCUUUUUCAUGAUUGAGGAUUAUUUUGUGAACAUAUUUUUCUUAUUAUUUUAGAAAAAGAGAAAAUGAGAUUUUCGUUUUCUCUAACCAUAUUUAAAUAUCAAAUGUUGUUAUAUGUGUAUAACAAUCCGUAACUAUAAAAAAAUAGUAUAAUUUUCUUUGAUACAUAAAUAUACGAAAAAGUAAUGAUUUCAGUUGAACUCACAAAGCUUAAUAACAAACUAAAAAAAUUCUAGAUACUUGAAGAUCCAAAUCUGAACACUAAAAUCAAUCCAGAAAUGAGAAAAAAAAUCAAAAUUAUUCUAGUUUAGAGUGCAAACAUUUGCUCAAAACCGGAAUCCAACGUCUAAAAGUUAGCUUCAGUGUACGAAAAACGGAGUUUCUUCAACCUCUUACAUUGAAAAAUUUCCUAAUGUAUCCUCAUUAUCGUCGCCAAAUUCAUCAUAUUCGACCGGUUCAACACUUCCUUGUUGUUGCUGGUACAAAAAAGUUAAUCCGAAUUAGUAAAACGUGGGAGUUAUGAACUCAAGCAAGUUGGGGGCGGUUAUAUAAAUCCUCAUUGACCAUAUUGCACCACUAAACCUCAUCUUUAGACAAGUCUUAUAAAAGUAACGAAUAGAUAGGAGUAUGAAAACAACAUACUCAGUGUAAUCCUACAUGUAGGGUCUGGGGAAGGUAGAGUGUACGCAAACCUUACCCCUACUUGGCAAGGUAAACAUGUUGUUUCUGAUAGACUCUUGGUUCAAGGAAAAGCGUAUCAAAGCAGAUACUAUAGAAAAAUAAGAGUACGAGGACUAAAAUACUCCGAGAUAACAUAGGAACUAGUAUUGCAGCGAUGUAAAGAUAACAAAUUAAGACCAACCUGCUCGAGAAAGGCACUCAUGAGGUCCUCUUGAUCAAAUGGCUCAGGAAAAGUGGUACUCUGAUAGCUUGAACUAGGAUAUCUUUCAGCGUUAACAUGUGGACGAGGCAUAGGAUUAACAUGUCCAAUUUCUUGCCCGCUACAGAGAACUGCUUCUGCGAUGGGACUAUUACUAUUUACGUUCUGUCCAAUCUGCUCCAUUGACAGAAUUCCGUGGUGUAUACUAGAAUGAUAAGACGUAUCAAAGAUUGAUCCAACAUUAUGCUGAUACAGCUCGUUGAAAAUAUCAUCAGAGUUAACAUCUUCCUUAGUUGUUGACAUUGCUGAAUUACCACUCAUAGGAAAGCUGCUUCCUGUCAACGAUAUGUUCUGAUUCAAUGAGCAAUCUAUCGCUGAAGAUGAUGCUUGGGGAACCUGAUUGUACAUCCUAUCUCGUGCAUUGUGAACGAGACCAUUCUGUGAUAGGAACUUAUUGGAUUCUCUUAGCAUAUUGUGAGCUUGUAACUGUGGUUGAGAAAUCCGUCCUACUGGCAUAUUCAUUCCCAAGUAGGACGGAUUUUGUUCCACGACUGUUGGGAUUCCAUAAAGCAAGUUAACUUGCUUAGUACGAUCGUUCAUCUGUUGCUGACCUUGAUAUCUCAACAUGGGAUUUUCAUAGCUAAAGUGGUCUCUCUGGUCUGCUAACGGAACAAACAUCGGAGAAUUUGUUGCAGGCCUACCCCAUGUGGCUAGAUUUUGAGCAGGAAAUUGACUAAUAGGUGCAAGAGCUUGAAAACGGUUAGACAUUGUCCCAAUGGUUGGUUCCGAGUGUCCCAUGAUAGCAUUAUUCGGUUCACUCUGAUACUUCCGUAGAAGCAGUCUGUGUUUCUGCAGCAAAUAGUUGCCACUAAGUAAGUAUUUCAAUCAAUCAAUCAACCACGCCUCUAACAAGUACUCAAUCAAUCGAUCAAUCAACUAAUCAGUGUCGCCUAUAUGGGAUCAUUUGGUUUCAUUGUGUUAUAUUCUAGUUAUUUUCACCAUUGUUUCAACCUACUAACUAGUGACUACAUGUUGCAAGAUCCAUGAAAUCAUUCACCAAAAAAAGGUUUCGUAAACAUGAUAUAUACUACAUCUUGAAAUGGGGAAAAUGUACCUGAAGAUGGCUAGCAACAUGUUCUCUUUUUAGCCCCGGAACAUUCAUCAGUUCCAGAAUUUUCUUGGGAACUGCCUCUGUAUGCAUAGAUAGAGUUAAGACAACAAGGAAUACACAGAAGAUAAUAUUGACUGUUGAUAAAUUGUAUAGACAAGUUCGCGACAGAUCCAUCAUUUCUACACAAUUUUCUAGUAUUGUAACAAAUAAAGAGACAGAAGCAUGGAAUUCAGGUACGGACUAGCUCUGUGUUGAUGAGGAAUCACACUACUGAAAUGAGGUCUCUAAACCGAACACAUUACCAACAAAAUCAGGAAGAAGAGAGAAGACAUAAGACAAGACGGCAACUUGGUUAUAAUAACGAUAACUCAGCUGAUAACAACUCUGUCUAUCAUGUGUAAAGUUGACAGAUUUCUAUCCACUUCUCGCGAUAGAAACUAACCAAACAAAUCAGGAAAAACGAAAUCUU